RNAcentral lists this long non-coding RNA (48681 nucleotides) under Setaria viridis. RNAcentral describes it as "long non-coding RNA (SVIR_LNC010032)". The record is from RNAcentral. Lineage: Eukaryota; Viridiplantae; Streptophyta; Magnoliopsida; Poales; Poaceae.
GAAUCCUCUUUCGCAUGACAAUCUUAAUUAUCUCCCAUACUCCAAAACUCACAAAAACAUCAAGAGUCCGCUGAGAAUAAAUUUAAGUAAAAAACAUGCACACACAGAUAAUAAUAAUAAUCAUGUUUCCAUAAAAUUGCUAAGUCCAGAGAUAAUACAUAAACAUAGUAGACUGUUCAUGACACAUAUCACGGUGGACAGUGUUUGUGUCCUUAUUACAAGCAACGAGAGAUGCUCGUCACCAACACGCGCGCGCACAGAUGCACGACAUACAUAUAGUAGAGACCAACAGAUGGUCGUCCCAUAUGGUGAACAAUUUAUUGGAGAUAAAUAUUAACGUAACUUGGCCAUAGCUUGAAGCAUAGCAACAUAUGCCUAUGAGUGGCAUUCAUGCUAUCGUUUUAGGCUUGUCCAGCUCCUUCCAUCUUAGCAAGCACUUCCAUUUCUACCAUCUUAGCAGCAACUGUCAAAUUGAGAUACGGAAAUCCCAUUAGCGCAUGAGUUAAUUUUGCAGUGGAAAUAGAGUACAAGAUGUCUUCAUGAUGUAAGUAAUAUGCCUGAAGUUGUGAGAUGGGAAGUGAAGUCAACAAAUUACAUUAACGGAAAUGCAUGGAAGGCCACACAUACGUAUUAGUCCAUGAUAUGCUACAAAGCUUGUAUGUACAUAUAGCAAAUUAAAUGCAUUAAUUGAAUAGAGUGUGUUUAGUGAAUUUACCAGAAUCGUCCAGAAAACAUGGGAAACAGCAAGUGUUCUUGCAGACUGCGUCGGAGGCACCCGCACGAAUACAAAGCUGACAACAUAGUUUUGCCUGGGCGGAUGCGCAGCAGCCGCACUCCGCCGCGGUGGGGUUAACAUUGAGGCUCAAGAUGACCAGGCACAUGAUCACCAUCAAAGUGGUAGUCCUCUUUCCCUCCAUUGCCUCCUCUUAGCUUGCUGCUACCUUCCUUGGUUACCUAGCUAAGUUUAUUGGUUUUGUGUUGAGAGGUGUGAUUCUUGAAUGGACGUUGCCGGCGGCAAUUUAUAGGCAGCUGAGCUAUGUGAUGAUAUGGACUAGGUGCAAAUGGGUGGUUAAUGGCAAGGAAAGGGGCGUCAGACAAAGCCCAAUGGCAACUGCUGACAUGCGAUUAAAUUCAGAUCCACAUCCGGCCAUUCAAUAAUACGGUUGGAGUUGUGGCACAGAUAUAUUAUUGCAUGAUCAUCAAGAUAAGAUCGUACAGUGACUGAGUGAGACAAUAAAUAGCCAAGUAAACUAUUUUAUCCUGCUGCAAGCUGCAUUCAUAAGUUUAUUUCACCUUUGAUCACAAUACUCUUCACACACGUACGUCUCAGGGAGAUCUCACUUCCGCUGGACUGCUCACUUCCGCUGUCGUCGGUACUGCCAAAGACAUAAGCUCACAUCUGCUAUUGCGGAGCAGGCCAAUUUGCUGCGGAACUUCGGCGACGACCUGAAGGACAUGAACUCGGUGCUGGAGUCCAUCUCAGCAGCGCUCUAGGACGCUGACACCGGUAGAAAAACGACCUUCCAUCGUCAACAAAAAUCCCGGUAGCUUUUUUACUCGGUACUAAAGAGGUUUUAAUCUCGUGCAAACACCUUUAGUCCAGAUUGCUAUUACCACGCAACCCGGACUAAAGCGUCCCCCGCGAGUUAGUAUAUAAGGAUUGCAUCCUUUACUCAGUCAGAUAUAAUAUGUAGGUGAGAUGGUAAGGAAGCUAUGCGUGAGGCUUCAGGUUGUGGGUUCGAAUCCAAGUGGGUGCAGCUGUGGCUUAAGCGGCUGAGGCACGCCGCCAUAGACAUCUCAGAUUUGCUCGAAGACUACCAAGACACUAGUGAACCCUUAACAGUAAAGGUGAGUACUUAUGAAUGUCAGCAUCCAUGUUGUCCAUGCUUCCAAUGUAAUAACAAGAUGGACUACUCUUCCUAGCGGACUCUUCACAACCACUCGUAAAGCUAUGCGUUUCUCAAUGCAAUUUCGUAGAAGCCAAUCGAUCCAACCAAGUGACUAAAUCAUUCGUCCUUUCCAAUGAUGUGCAUCAGGUUUUCUAUAUGAAGGGCAUGUCUAGCAAACCUAAGAUUUCAGAAGAAAAAGAAAAAUCAUUGGAGCCAAAGAGCCACAUAGUUCUUCUAGGAAAAAAAUCAUGGGAGUCGAGAACAUAUCAAACCAAUCAGGGGAUUAUGGUCAGCUUAAUGGCAUGCCUCCAUUCGAUGUCGAAGUUCACCCAAGCAUCAUGUUAGCCAAACAUCAAAUGUUCGUGCGUUGUUACGGUAAAGAUCAAUUGUGUUUUUUAAACUCUUGGAAUUUUUUUAUCUAAGUUUUUAUUUACACUUAUUGGAUGUCUACACAUUUGCUAGAAAACUAAAAUAAUUUGGACUUAAUUAUUUCUUUCAACUGAAGUACUCACUAAAUUUCUACCUUUUUAUUUAAGCAAGAGAGUUGCUAAAAAAAAUGGAUACGUAACCAUGUUGUAUCAUACAAAGUAACCACGUUUCACAUAUAGUCCGGCUUAGCAAACACCAUUGUUUUCUGAACAUAGCGUACAUGAGUUAACAGACAUGGAUUUAUUUCUAUUGCAAGUAGCAUAGCGUACAACCUGCCUGCACCGAUGCAGCUCAAUAUGCGAUAAUUUUUAUCUUCCCAUGUAAUUUUUCUACUCUAGUACAUAUUGAACUCCACAUUAAUGUCAUGUUCUUUCGCGCCCCAGAAGGUUCCUAAAGUUUGGAAACUUAAUAGAUAGCCAGAAUUUUUUUUAAAGAUAUUUAUAUGGAUACUUGUAUGUUCUUUCCAAACUAACAAUAUUGUUUACCAAUAUCAGAAGGAAUAUGGUUAGGAGCCAUUGCCGCAUAUGGCAGGUGAUGGUAGAUGGCGUAUGGGGUUUCGUUAAUUUAAUGGUAUAAUAAGCUGAAAUACAUUUUCUAUUUGCAAAUGAAUCAUAGCUGAAAUUGGUGGGAUUGUUUUUUCGCCGGUUUAGCAUCCUGUGCACCAGUUCAACCGGAGGGAAGCUGUUUUUUUUCUUUGGUUUUCCACCGGUUCACCGAGACCGAUGACAAUUUUAUGGCAGAAUCAUUACUUGUUUUACUAUUAGGUGAAGAUUUUAGCGUUUAGGUAUCUCACAUUAAACGCAACUUCAACAAUCUAUUUCUAGUGUAUAAUGUAGGAGACCCCGUAAAGAGUCUACACACACAUAUAUGUUGACUAUGAAUGUAAGUUUGUUGGUUUUAUGUAUGUUCGUUUGGAGUUUAUAUAAAUUUUACAUUUUAUAGUUUUGUGUAUAUGACGAAGAUCCAUGACUUGCAUUAAUUUAGCCUUUCUUCCAACAACUCUUAUGCAUGAUGUUUCUAGGCGAGCGUACUGGUUGCAAUUUUGGUCCCCGAUAUAGUGUGAGGACUUAAGGGACACGUGCAGGUCGUAACCUUAGAUAUUUUUGCUGAGAAUGGAUGAAGAAGCAAUAAUAUACUUUGCUUCUGAUUUUCUCCAUGUCAUUUGCUUACUCUUAUCCCUUUUAUUUAUCAUUAUAAGAUGAAAAUAUUGUAAAAACUUGGCUACGUGCGGUCGCAGAAGCUAGAGACUAAAGCGUCCCCCACGAGUUACUAUAUAAAAGGAUUGCAUCCUCUACUCAGUCAUAUGUACUGUGUAGGUGAGAUGGUAAGGAAGCUAUGUGUGAGGCUUGAGGUUGUAGGUUCGAAUCCCACGCACCGCGUGCGCAUGCGCAUAUUUUGCGUGAAAAAUCGCAUGACUUGUGGUCGGCCAAGGAGAAGUGCGUGCGGCUGAGGCACGCCGCCAUAGACAUCUCGGAUUUGCUCCAAGACUACCAAGACACUAGCGAACCCUUAACGGCAAAGUUGAGUACUUACGCGUGUUAGCAUCUAUGUUGUCCAUGCUUCCAAUGCAAUAACAAGAAGGGCUACUCAUCCUAGCGGAUUCUUCACAACCACUCGUAAAGCUAUGCGUUUCUCAAUGCAAUUUCGUAGAUGUCAAUCGAUCCAACCAAGCGACUGAAUCAUUCGUCCUUGCUAAUGAUGUGCAUCAGGUUUUCUAUAUGAAGAACAUGUCUAGCAAAUCCAAGAUUUCAGAAGAAAAAUAAAAAUCAUGAGAACCAAAGCACCACGUAGUUCUUCCAGGUAAAAAAAACAAUCAUCCACUGGGAUGACACACAGUAGCGAUCCAAAACGUCCAUAUUAAGACUUUUUGAUAGCAGAAAAAACAUGAAAAUGUCUAAUAUUUGUAGUAUUAAAAGGAAAAAUAAUAUAUUCACUUGACCUUUUUUUCGUAGCAACGCACCGGUGCGUAGUCAGACUUAGGCCACGUUUGGAUACUCCCUACUAAAGUUUAGCACCUGUCACAUAGGAUGUUUGGAUACUAAUUAGGAGUAUUAAACAUAGGCUAAUUAUAAAACUAAUUGAACAGAUGGAGUCUAAUUUGCGAGACGAAUCUAUUAAGCCUAACUAGUCCAUGAUUUGACAAUGUGGUGCUACAGUAACCAUUUGCUAAUGGUGGAUUAAUUAGGCUUAAUAGAUUCGUCUCGCGAAUUAACAUAGGGUUCUGCAAUUAAUUUUAUAAUUAGCUCAUGUCUAGUCCUUCUAAUUAGCAUCCGAACAUCUGAUAUGAUACUGCUAAAGUUUAUCACCUAGUAUCCAAAUACCCCCUUAAUGCACGAUGCCUGUGCAUCCACUGGGCCUACCCUCGUGGAUCACGCGCUCGUGGAUCACGCGCACCAUGACAUGGCUCAUUAGCUAGUCGUGCUAAUCCUUACCACCAAAUUAAAAACUAGCAUGUGUUGUGUGUUUGUGACCCUAAACGACUACCACCUUCCCGAGUCCACCGGAGUUGCCAGUUCACCACUAAGCUGACUCUCCGAGCUUCAUGUCACUGUCACCGCUCCAAAGACCUAGAUCGGUUCGCUGUGCACCCCGCUUCGUCCUGAGCUAAAUCCCAUCACGAAAGGUGACCGGAUGCUCGUUUUCGAGCGAAUUCUAGCGAGAUUGCCACCACCUUUCCCCUUCCAGCCGAUCGCAGCUGUCUGAUCACAAACCGACAGCCCAGAUCGGAUUUGACCAGGUCAAUACCGGUCAAGCCGAGAUGCAUGCUGCUUUUGCAAGAAGGCCCCUAUUUUUCUCUCUUUUUGCACUUGAGGUCCUACGCAGUUCAAAAGUAAUUAGAUCUAGAUCCUUUUUCUUCUGUUUUAGCCCUGUUCUUUUAUAAAAUCCCACCCGCCAUCCUGUUUGGUAUUUUGACAUGUUAGACCUUCUAUUUAUAUGUUUAAUUAGGUUUUAGCCCUUGGUUUCUUUAAGUUUAGCUCUUGGAAGUUUAGUUUUCUCGCAGUUAAGCCCCUGAACCUUGUUUAGUUCAUAUCUUUAGCGUUUUAAAUCCGUUUUAAGAGAUUCUUACGCCCAUAAGUUCGUGUUGAUGCAUAGAUUAGUUGACUUAUACGGACCUUGCUGAUUCAGCUCCUUCAUUGUGCUUCAGAUCUCGCUAGUGAAGAAUAAUGGAUGGGCUUUGGUUGAGCUUGUAGAUCGACCUGCAGUUGCAGUGAAUGUGCUGAGGACUGGCGGUACCAAUAAUGGGAGGCCGCUGCUCUGCUUGCUACCAAGGCCUGCGACGCUUGGACGCCAUUCAGAGUGCAUAAUUUCCAAGGAUCUCAAGGGCUCCACACCACGUUCCAAGUGUUUUUUCUUUGCCGAGUGUUUUUAGCUCGGCACUUGGCAAAGAGCUUGUUUGCCGAGUGUCCGAAAAAAACACUUGGCAAAGAGAAAACACUCGGCAAAUUUGAUGUUUCCCGUAGUGAUGUACUAUUCAAACUUGAACUGGGAUGCAGGCUUCAGUACCAAAGAGAGCUCUGGGCGCGGGUGAGCAGUGAGCUGGCCGGGCAGGGAGCUCCAAAGCGACAGCAACAAAGAGAGAAAUGCUAAGAGUAAGAACGACACACGAGGUCACUUCACAUAGAUAAUAGCAGUACGAACCAUACAAUAUCCUCUCUCAGUUUCACUCCGCCUCACACACGGCUAGCACACCAUGCAUGCCGAUUUCAUAUUAUUAAUAUUAUUUUUUGGAUGGUUGUUGAAACUAUAUAUAUAGUUAGUCCAAUCUCACGUUUCCGAUUAUAAAAAUCAACGUAAAGAGAUCGGUAGGGAGAGCCGGCAUAAUGAAGCCGACGCGUGUAAUAAGCACCAGAGCCGGCAUUUAUACAAACUGGUACGAAUAGUAAAAAACUAGAAUUUAUAAAUAAAAAAAUGAUUUGCACAUCUAUGCAAUAAUUAGGGGUUAGUGGCAGGUCUAGAGAGAUAUCUCAUCAUUAUAUCCGGUUUAACGAGGAUAAAAAAGAGUGUAUUUUCCACUCAUCAUGUUGUCUUUUCGCAGCGGUACCACUUUUCGUGUGUUGUAUCGGUCCCCUAAUACGGAGUCUCCGAGGCCCGAGAAAAUAAGGAAAGUGAUAGUAGCCCAGAAAUCGGCCAAGUUUCUUUCCCCUUUGGCUUUCCUACUAGGAUUCAGAAUCCUCUUUCGCAUGACAAUCUUAAUUAUCUCCCAUACUCCAAAACUCACAAAAACAUCAAGAGUCCGCUGAGAAUAAAUUUAAGUAAAAAACAUGCACACACAGAUAAUAAUAAUAAUCAUGUUUCCAUAAAAUUGCUAAGUCCAGAGAUAAUACAUAAACAUAGUAGACUGUUCAUGACACAUAUCACGGUGGACAGUGUUUGUGUCCUUAUUACAAGCAACGAGAGAUGCUCGUCACCAACACGCGCGCGCACAGAUGCACGACAUACAUAUAGUAGAGACCAACAGAUGGUCGUCCCAUAUGGUGAACAAUUUAUUGGAGAUAAAUAUUAACGUAACUUGGCCAUAGCUUGAAGCAUAGCAACAUAUGCCUAUGAGUGGCAUUCAUGCUAUCGUUUUAGGCUUGUCCAGCUCCUUCCAUCUUAGCAAGCACUUCCAUUUCUACCAUCUUAGCAGCAACUGUCAAAUUGAGAUACGGAAAUCCCAUUAGCGCAUGAGUUAAUUUUGCAGUGGAAAUAGAGUACAAGAUGUCUUCAUGAUGUAAGUAAUAUGCCUGAAGUUGUGAGAUGGGAAGUGAAGUCAACAAAUUACAUUAACGGAAAUGCAUGGAAGGCCACACAUACGUAUUAGUCCAUGAUAUGCUACAAAGCUUGUAUGUACAUAUAGCAAAUUAAAUGCAUUAAUUGAAUAGAGUGUGUUUAGUGAAUUUACCAGAAUCGUCCAGAAAACAUGGGAAACAGCAAGUGUUCUUGCAGACUGCGUCGGAGGCACCCGCACGAAUACAAAGCUGACAACAUAGUUUUGCCUGGGCGGAUGCGCAGCAGCCGCACUCCGCCGCGGUGGGGUUAACAUUGAGGCUCAAGAUGACCAGGCACAUGAUCACCAUCAAAGUGGUAGUCCUCUUUCCCUCCAUUGCCUCCUCUUAGCUUGCUGCUACCUUCCUUGGUUACCUAGCUAAGUUUAUUGGUUUUGUGUUGAGAGGUGUGAUUCUUGAAUGGACGUUGCCGGCGGCAAUUUAUAGGCAGCUGAGCUAUGUGAUGAUAUGGACUAGGUGCAAAUGGGUGGUUAAUGGCAAGGAAAGGGGCGUCAGACAAAGCCCAAUGGCAACUGCUGACAUGCGAUUAAAUUCAGAUCCACAUCCGGCCAUUCAAUAAUACGGUUGGAGUUGUGGCACAGAUAUAUUAUUGCAUGAUCAUCAAGAUAAGAUCGUACAGUGACUGAGUGAGACAAUAAAUAGCCAAGUAAACUAUUUUAUCCUGCUGCAAGCUGCAUUCAUAAGUUUAUUUCACCUUUGAUCACAAUACUCUUCACACACGUACGUCUCAGGGAGAUCUCACUUCCGCUGGACUGCUCACUUCCGCUGUCGUCGGUACUGCCAAAGACAUAAGCUCACAUCUGCUAUUGCGGAGCAGGCCAAUUUGCUGCGGAACUUCGGCGACGACCUGAAGGACAUGAACUCGGUGCUGGAGUCCAUCUCAGCAGCGCUCUAGGACGCUGACACCGGUAGAAAAACGACCUUCCAUCGUCAACAAAAAUCCCGGUAGCUUUUUUACUCGGUACUAAAGAGGUUUUAAUCUCGUGCAAACACCUUUAGUCCGGAUUGCUGUUACCACGCAACCCGAACUAAAGCGUCCCCCACGAGUUACUAUAUAAGGAUUGCAUCCUUUACUCAGUCAGAUAUAAUGUGUAGGUGAGAUGGUAAGGAAGCUAUACGUGAGGCUUCAGGUUGUGGGUUCGAAUCCAAGGAGAAGUGGGUGCAGCUGUGGCUUAAGCGGCUGAGGCACGCCGCCAUAGACAUCUCAGAUUUGCUCGAAGACUACCAAGACACUAGUGAACCCUUAACAGUAAAGGUGAGUACUUAUGAAUGUCAGCAUCCAUGUUGUCCAUGCUUCCAAUGUAAUAACAAGAUGGACUACUCUUCCUAGCGGACUCUUCACAACCACUCGUAAAGCUAUACGUUUCUCAAUGCAAUUUCGUAGAAGCCAAUCGAUCCAACCAAGUGACUAAAUCAUUCAUCCUUUCCAAUGAUGUGCAUCAGGUUUUCUACAUGAAGGGCAUCUCUAGCAAACCCAAGAUUUCAGAAGAAAAAGAAAAAUCAUUGGAGCCAAAGAGCCACAUAGUUCUUCCAGGAAAAAAAAAUCAUGGGAGUCGAGAACAAAUCAAACCAAUCAGAGGAUUAUGGUCAGCUUAAUGGCAUGCCUCCAUUCGAUGUCGAAGUUCACCCAAGCAUCAUGUUAGCCAAACAUCAAAUGUUCGUGCGUUGUUACGGUAAAGAUCAAUUGUGUUUUUUAAACUCAUGGAAUUUUUUUUCUAAGUUUUUAUUACACUUAUUGGAUGUCUACACAUUUGCUAGAAAACCAAAAUAAUUUGGACUUAAUUAUUUCUUUCAACUGAAGUACUCACUAAAUUUCUACCUUUUUAUUUAAGCAAGAGAGUUGCUAAAAAAAAUGGAUACAUAACCAUGUUGUAUCGUACAAAGCAACCACAUUUCACAUAUAGUCCGGCUUACCAAACACCAUUUUUUACUGAACAUAGCGUACAUGAGUUAAGAGACAUGGAUUUAUUUCUAUUGCAAGUAGCAUAGCGUACAACCUGCCUGCACCGAUGCAGCUCAAUAUGCGAUAAUUUUUAUCUUCCCAUGUAAUUUUUCUACUCUAGUACAUAUUGAACUCCACAUUAAUGUCAUGUUCUUUGGCGCCCCAGACGGUUCCUAAAGUUUGGAAACAAAAUAGAUAGCCAGAAAUUUUUUUAAAAAAUAUUUAUAUGGAUAUUUGUAUGUUCUUUGCAAACUAACAAUAUUGUUUACCAAUAUCAAAAGGAAUAUGGCUAGGAGCCAUUGCCGCAUAUGGCAGGUGAUGGUAGAUGGCGUAUGGGAUUUCGUUAAUUUAAUGGUAUAAUAAGCUGAAAUACAUUUUCUAUUUGCAAAUGAAUCAUAGCUGAAAGUGGUGAGAUUGUUUUUUCGCCGGUUUAGCAUCCUGUGCACCGGUUCAACUGGAGGGAAGCGGUUCACCGAGACGGAUGACAAUUUUACGGCAGAAUCAUUACUUGUUUUAUUAUUAGGUGAAGAUUUUAGCUUUUAGGUAUCUCACAUUAACAAUCUGUUUCUAGUGUAUAAUGUAGGAGACCCGUAAAGAGUCUACACACACAUAUAUAUGUUGACUAUGAAUGUAAGUUUGUUGGUUUUAUGUAUGUUCAUUUGGAGUUUAUAUAAAUUUUACAUUUUAUAGUUUUGUGUAUAUGACGAAGAUCCAUGACUUGCAUUAAUUUAACCUUUCUUCCAACAACUCUUAUGCAUGCUGUUUCUAGGGGAGCGCACUGGUUGCAAUUUUGGUCCCCGAUAUAGCAUGAGGACUUAAGGGAGACGGGCACGUCGUAACCUUAGAUAUUUUUGCAAGAAGCAAAUUAUACUUUGCUUUUGAUUUUCUCCAUGCCAUUUGCUGACUCUUAUCCCUUUUAUUUAUCAUUAUAAGAUGAAAAUAUUGUAAAAACUUGGUUACGUGCGGUCGCAGAAGCUAGAGACUAUUUCUUUUUUUAAAAAUACGCAAGAGGGAGAAACUUGGUAACAGCUAGACAGUGAAGAUCGCAUUUCAUAAGAAAGAUGGUGCACGUUCUUGUUUGGCUGUUAACGAAAUGACUUCGUUUCACCACACCACCAGAGAGCCCCAUUGCACUUGCAGCAAAAGCGUGGAGCCGCUUUCAACCAGCGUGCAAUAAUGCAGUCCCGCGUGUCUUGGUCUUACAGGAUAUUUGGUUCUUUAGUCCGGACUAAAAUUCAUGUCGCAUAGAAUAUUCAGAUGUUAAAUAGGAGGACUAAACAUGAGCUAAUUAUAAAAAUAAUUACACAAAUGGAGGCUAAUUCCCAAGACAAAUCUAUUAAGUCUAAUUAAUCCAUCAUUAGCACAUGUUUACCGUAGCACCGUAUUGUCAAAUCAUGGACUAAUUAGGCUUAAUAAAUUCGUCUCGCAAGUUAGUCUCCAUCUAUACAAUUUGUUUUAUAAUUAGUCAAUGUUUAAUACUCUAUCUAAACAUUCAAUGUGACUGAAAUUUUAGGAGGUCCUAAAGAACCAAACACCCCUUAGUCUCCGCCUGAACUAUAGCAGGUGCUGGCAGCGGUAGCAGGGUCGUCCAUUAUAUCUAUGGAUGGAAAUGAUCUGAUUCGGAUGGAAUCGAAUUCGAAUAGCACUUUUUACCACAUACUAAUCUGAAUUGGAUGUUCUCGAAUGUGAAUGCAAAACGGAUAGUUCAAAUUUGAAUACUUUGCGGAUUUUUGCAUAAUAUUAAUCGAAGAGAAUUUGUUAAAUUUAGCCGAGACAUAAAUUUUUCUAAAUUCAAAUACUUUGCAGAUUUUCGAAUGCAAAUUUUUUCAUACGAUCUCGGUUGAAUACAAACUUUAUAUCAAAGUUGUAUAUUUAGAUUAUAUAUAAAACUUUGUAGUUGACCUCCUUUUCAUUUAAAAUUUUUUAAUAGCUCAAAACAUUAUUCUAAGCUUUCUAAUUUCAAAAUCUUGAAUUUUAAAUUUUUCAAACGACCUCGGAUGCAAACAAGCUCUAUAUCAAAGUGCUUAAUGAGAUAUAAAAUUUUGUAGUUGACAAGUUUUUUAGUUGAAAACAUUUAGUUAUCACAAACAUACAAGUUCUUCAUUUGAUGUCGAGGAUUGGAAGUGUUGAGUUUGAAGAAUAUAUUCUUUGAUUACAAACUUUUCCAUAUGAUCUUGGAUGAAUACGAACUUUAUUUCAAAGUUGCAAAUUUAGAUUAGACCAAAAACAGUAUAGUUUACAAUUUUUUCAUUCAAAAUUAUUUAGUAGCUCAAAAUGUUAUUCUAAACUCUCUAAUUUUGAAAUCUUGAAUUUUAAAAUUUUCAAAUGACCUCGGAUGCAAACAAGCUCUAUAUCGAAGUGGUAGUUCUUAAUGAGAUAUAAAAUUUUGUAGUUCCAUCUGAGAUCAUUUAACAGUCACAAAUAUACAAGUUUUUCAUAUGAUGCUAAGGAUCAGAAAGAUUAAGUUUGAAGGCUGUAUUUUUUUAAUACAAAUUUUUGCAUACGAUCUCGGAUGAAUACAAACUUUAUAUCAAAAUUGUAGAGCUCGAUGAGAAUUUAAACUUUGUAGUUGAUAUAUUUUUCAUUCGAGAAUGUUUAGUGGUCCAAACAUGUAUUAUAAGUUCAGAGAAGAAACACACAAUCGGCCACGUCAUCAAUUGACAACUUCCAAACUGAGCAUUCCUAUUGGUUCACACCUUUCCCUUUCAACUCGUCAAGCUUAUCUCCUCCCACUCCUCCAUCGUUCACUCCCCCUUCCCCUUCCUCUCUCCCUCCCUCCCUCCGCUCCAGCAGUGGCAGCCCGACCUGCCUCCUAGGACGGUGGUGUGCGGGGCUCGGGCAUCCCUGGCCUCUAGUGGCGUGGCAGGGCGGCCUCCAGCAGCGAUGGCGGAACUCGGCCUCCGGUGGCGCACAGGCAGCGCAGCCUACCUGGUCAAAGGCGGCGCAACAGGGCGACCUCCCCAGCCUCCGGCGGCGCGCAGGGCAUCCAUGACCUCCCCGGCCUCCCUUGCCAGAGGUGGUGCGCGGGGCUGCGCCGACCUCCCCAACCAGAGGUGGCAAGGCCCCAGCUUACGGCGGCGCGUGGCUCCCCAGCUAGGGUGUGGUGGGGCGGCGGCAAGUCAGGCGUGGCCGCGUGGGGGUGGGGGGAGGGGGUUGGGCUGGGCGGAUUCAGAUAGUAUCCAUUUAACCAUCCGAAAUGUGGAUAUCCGUUUAACAAUCCGUUUAGCAAAACCGAAUUUGGAUACUUCCACUUAAGUAUCCAACUAGGAUUCGAAUGCGGAUGGUCCUACCAUAUUGUUAUUUCAGCGGAUACGAAUAUGGGAUAAUUCGAAUAACGACUUACCCAUCCCUGAUUAUAUCCGUGUAAAUAAAUAAUUGCGGCAGCAGGUUCCCGUCGCCACGCCCCCGUCAAACCAAACAAUUGCUUGCGCGACACCGUGUUACUAGAUCUUGUACAGUACUCCCUCCGUUGCAGUACUCCCUAAUGAAAGUUGAGAAUCGAUCGACAACCACGGCUAGUUGCUAUGCACUCGAUCAGAUGGUCCAGGCGCCCGCUGGUAAUCAGGUCGUGGUUCACGCGCAUCAGGCCAGCUAUGACGUUGCCAGCAGUGCUCAGUACACAAAUCUAGCUAUCAGUCGGAUCCAAUUGGGCAGGCAUUUGCACUGUGGUUGUGUUUGAACCUGUAGAUGUCGUUGUCAUUAUCAGGCACCAUACAUCCUCUCUCAGAGGGUGUUUCACCCCCUAAACUUUAGCCCCUCUCACAUCGAAUGUUUUAGAUACUAAUUAGGAAUAUUAAACAUAGAAAAUUUACUAAACCCAUUACAUGGAUGGAGGGUAAACGGCGAGACAAAUCUAUUAAAUCUAAUUAGUCCAUGAUUUGACAAUGUGCUGCUAUAGUAACUAUUUGCUAAUGAUGGAUUAAUUAGACUUAAUAGAUUUUUCUUGCUGUUUAGCCUCCGUCUGUGCAAUUAGUUUUAUAAUUAAUUCAUAUUUAGUCCUCCUAAUUAGUCUCCGAAUAUUUGAUGUGACACGGACUAAACUUUAGAUAGCACACCAGGGACCGACACCAUGCAUGCUGAUUUCAUAUCAUAAUUAAGGAAAGUGAUAUCAUAAUUAAGGAAAGUGGUAGCAUCCAAGAAAUCGAUCAUGUUUCUUCCCCCUUUGGCUUUCCUACUAGGAUUUGGAUAGCGGGCCUUCCUACUAGGAUUUGGAAUCCGCUAUCGCAUGACUAUCUUAAUUAUGUCCCAUAGUCCAAAACUCACAAAACAUCAAAAAUCCAUCGAGAAUAAAUUAAGUAAAAAACAUGCGCACACAGAUAAUAAUAAUAAUAAUCAUGUUUCAAUAAAAUUGCUAAGAUUAGAGAUAGUACAUAAACAUAUUAGAUUGUUCGUGACACAUAUCAUGGUGGAUAGUGUCUGUGUCCUUAUUACAAGCAGCGAUAGAUGCUUGUCACCACACACACGCACGCACAGAUGCACGACAUACAUAUAGUUGAGACCAACGGAUGGACGUCCCAUAGGGUGAAUAAUUUAUUGGAGAUAAAUAUUAACAUAACUUGGCCAUAGCUUGAAGCAUAGCAACAUAUGCUUAUGAAUGGCAUUCAUGCGGGUAGCAAUGCUAUCAUAUGCUUUUAGGCUUGUCCUUAGCUUCUUCCAUCUUAUAGCAAACACUGCCAUUUCUUCCAUCUUAGCAGCAACUGUCAAAUUAAUUGAGAUAUGGAAAUCCCAUUAGCGCAUGAGUUAAUUUUGCAGUGGAAAUAGAGUAGAAGAUGUCUUCAUAAUGUAAGUAAUAUGACUCUGACAUAGGGAGUGAAGUCAACAAAUUACAUUAACGGAAAUGCAUGGAAGGCCACGCAUAUGUAUUAGUCCGAUAUGCUACAAAGCUUGUAUGUACAUAUAAUAAAUUAAAUGCAUUGAAUAGAGUGAUUUUAGUGAAUUUACCUAAAUCGGAUUAAAAAACAUGGGAAACAACAAGUGUUCUUGUAGGGCUUUGUUUAGUUCCCAAAUUGGGAGUAGCAAAGUUUGCAUUUUACCAUAAAUGCGCAACUAUAGCAUGUAGCAUUUUGUUUGUAUUUGUGAAUUAUUAUCCAAACAUUGACUAAUUAGGCUCAAAAGAUUCAUCUCGCAAAGUACAACAAAACUGUGCAAUUAGUUUUUGAUUUCGUCUACAUUUAGUACUCCGUGCAUGUACCGCAAGUUUGAUGUGAUGGGGAAUCUUGCUUUUCAAUAGUGACAAAGUUGGGAUUUCGGGGGGAAGGCCUGUGUCGGAGCCACAUGCAAGAAUGGCUGACAUUGAGGCUCAGACAAAGCCCAAUGGCAACUGCUGACAUGCGAUUAAAUUUAGAUAUCCACAUCCAGCCAUUCACAUUUAUGAGAUAUGGACACGGUGCAAAUGGGUGGGGUCCUGAUAUGGAGGUGCGAAUGGCUGUCUACUUGUAUAGUGUAGCUCCAAUGUACGUAUAUGUAUCUUAUGCAUGUAUACAGUUGCACAAACUCUGAACCAACUCUUCAUAACAGGUCUUUGUUACCAAGUAACUUUACUUUUGCACGUUUCAGCCGAGAGGUAGAAGAGAAUAUUUUUGCAUUUUCCAUGUGCGUCAGUGGUAGAGAACUAGGAAUUAGUUCCGGAUGGUAGGGCACAAAUCUUCCAAACAACUAUCCGAAAUUAAGCAAUCGAGAUAAAGGGUGCCAUCUAUUCUCUCCGAAAAACACAGGUACCAAAAAGAAGAAGAGAAGAGGGAGGGCCUCCCGUUAAGGCCCGCUCGGGGUCUCCAUCCCACCACGCGCCCUCCCAACCCAAAGCCCAUCGUUUUCCCUCCGUCCCUCCCCUCUCCAUUGCCGCCGCCGCUCCCCUCAUCCGAGCUCGAUACGGGUGGUCGGCGGCCCCUCCUCUCCGCUCCCGCCCCCGGCCUCCCUUUGACCGCCGGGCGCCGGCAUCACUGCCGCGGCCAACCCCAGGGCGCAGCGCGUGCCUCUAUUUCUCUCCCCCGUUCAAGGGCCCUUUGAUGGCGACGAGCACCCACCCACCAGGUAUGCCCUCCCCUUCUCUUCCUAACCCUAAUAUAUUCGGAUCUCACCCAGUCACAAUAUAUUACCUAAUAGCUUCGAUUUUGUUUGCAAAAAUCAUCACGUGCGCACCCAUGUCCGCUAGAUUCUUGCGCCUGAUCCUGUGCUGCUAUGGUUUGGGCGGGGUAGACUAGUUGAUUCGUGCACUUUUGGGUGCUUGUAGUGCUAGGUUUUGGAGGGGGAUAGCCCAGUUGAUUCCUCCGUUUUGGGUGCUCAUGGUGAUAGGAUUUGGAUGGGGAUAGCCCCAAUGAUUCGUGCGCCUUUGGGUGCUGGGGAUAGUUUUGGGUGCCUGGAUAGUCCAGUUUCAAUGUCAGUAUAUGCGUAUUUUGGGGAGAAUUUUGUUUUGGGUGGUUCUGGUGCUAGAGUUUCUGAUGCUUAGUAGCCCAGUUUCAAUCAAAUUCCCCCAUGGGUCGUGCACUACGGGAAACAAGAAAAUUGCCGAGUGUAUUUUUUUUGUCGAGUGUUUUUUUUCGAGCACUCAGCAAACAAGCUCUUCGCCGAGUGCCAAGUCAAAAACACUCGGCAAAAAAAAACACUCGGCAAAUCGGGGCUUUGCCGAGUGUCAAAUAAAAAACACUCGGCAAAGAAGGGGGUUUGCCGAGUGUUAAAAAAAACACUCGGCAAACAGGAGGGUUUGCCUAGUGUUUUUUUGACACUCGGCAAAAAAAUAAUUGUUUUUCCUCUUUUCACCUUGAAAUUUUUUCUACUCCCCACAUACAACACGUGGUACUCCAUGUUAAAAUUUGGUAUAUUUUUGGAUUUAUUUGCUAUAUUUAUUUAAUUAAUUGCAUUACAAGGAAAUUUUUGGUAUAAGUCAAAUUUGAACUGCAAGUGAUUCAAAUUGUGGAACAAAAUGAGUAGAAAAAUGAUAUUCAUGUUAUUUGGCUCAAUUUGAGACCUGACCCAUGAAAUGAAAAGAAAUUUCGAACAUCUUGUUCAGGAAACACGACAAUGAACAUGUGGCGGUAGUAUUUUUAAAUUGUAAAAAAAACAAGCAAAGUCUGAAAAUCAUGAGAUUUGUAGUUAUGUGAUGAUAUAAUACGUGGAAGCUGUGGAAAAAAAUUGGAAAGGUUUUGCACAUUUCAUCAUGUACGAUGAUUACAAACCGAAGCAUAUCAGAAGAAGAAUAGUAACUUUGAGAAGGAUUCGAUAAAAUUUAGAGUCGAAGUGACGGUCGAGUUCGGUUUGACUACAAAACUUUUUGUAUAGUCAGUAGAGAACAUAUCUUAUUUCGUGUGAAAAUUUGGUAUUUUUUGAAACUGUUGGAUAUUUUUAAUUUUUUUUUAAAAAAACUUUGCCGAGUGUCCUAGGGUAGACACUCGGCAAAGAAAAACUUUACCGAGUGCCCGCCUAGGACACUCAGCGAACCUUUUUUUAAACCUACCGGCUCCGGCCGGCCCAGCCCACAAACACCACCCGCCCCCCGCCCCCGCGCCUUCUUCCUCACGCCGCCCCCGCCCCCCACCCGUGCCUCCGGACCGCCCCCUCCUCCCCCUGGCCUCCCCUCACGCCGCCCCCCUCCUCCCCUAGCUCCCUCCACCGGCGGCCCUCCCUCCCCCGGCGCACAUCCUCCACUCCUCCUCCCCUUCCCUUCCCUCCCCUCCCCUCCCCUCUUCCUCCCCUGGCCGGAUCUGGCGCCCCUAGCUCCCCUUUCUUCCGCGGCCAGAUCUGGCGCCCUCCCGGCGGCGGGUCGUGGCGAUCGGGGCGGCGGCGGCGGAUCAGGCCGCGGGGCGGCGGCGGCGGCGGGUCGUGGCUACCGGGGCGGCGCCCUGCCCCUCCCCUCCCUCUCCAUCUCCGGCUGCCGUCCACCCCCUCCCCGGAUCCGCCCCCCUCCCCUCCGCGCGGCCAGCCCCUCCUCCCUCUCCGGCCGCCGCCCCGGCCCCUCCUCUCCCUUUCUCCGGCCACCGCCCCGCCCAUCUUCUCUGGAUCCGGCCGGAUCCGGCCGCCGCACAGCCCCUCCUCCCCGGAUCCGGUGGGCGCGGACUUCGUGGUGGUGGCGCCGGAUCCCUCCCCUCCCUCUCCAGAUAACUCCCUCCACUCCUCCGCUCUUCCCCUCUCUCGCGCGGCGGCCUCUCUCCGGCCGCCGCCCCGCCCCUCUCCCCGGAUCCGGGGGGGGGGGGACUCCGCCCCUCUGCCCCGGAUCCAGCUCCCCGACCCGCGAGUGGGGCGAGCUUGCUCAUGCGGUCGACGUCGAGGCCAGGGUGUGGUGGAGGUGGUGGCCGGCGGGUGUGGUGGUGGUGGCGGCGGCGGGCAUGGCGGCGCGGAGGCAAGGCACGGCGGCCGGUGGGAGGCACGGGUGCAAGGCGUCGACGGCAGGAGGCAAGGCACGGCAGCAUGGGAGGUGGUGCUGUGGUGGUGGUGCUGGCGGUGGUGGCGGCGGCGGAGCAGGAUGUGGUGGUGGCGGAGGAUGUUUUUUUUUCAAAAAUUUGUUGCCGAGUGUUUUCUCGGCACUCGGCAAAGACUUUACCGAGUGCCCGACACAAAACACUCGGCAACUCAGUGUUUGCCGACUGAAAAAUUGCCGUGUGCCGUUUGCCGAGUGUUACACUCGGCAAACGGUUCGCCGAGGGUUUUUUGCCCUUCGCCGAGUGCCCCUAGCACUCGGCAAUUUCACUAUCUCCCGUAGUGGUGGCUGGACUUAUGGGGGGAUCAUUGAUGGGGGACUAGUUGGAUACUUUUUGGCUGUUUUGGGAGUCCUUGGCAGCGGCUUCUCAGGGCGUACGUAGCCCAUUGUAGAUUCCAGCCGAGAAGAUUAAGGAAUUGUGACUGCAACCAUGUUACUUUUCUAGGACUCUGUUUCUGAUAUUGUUCCCGCUGCAUCUUUUCAUCCCCAUGGUGAAUGUUGCUGUUGAUCUGUAGAUUGGAUUUGUUCCUCGGUAGCUUUAUUAGAUUUGUGCUGAAUGAUAAUCUCUGCCUGUGAUAUUUUUCUUCAUUGCGGAUGUGUGCCGAGUAUUAUCCCCUUUGUUCAUUCUGUUGGCUUUUUUUAUUGUCUCUGUACUCGGCUGUUCAGCUUGUGCAGCUAAUGAUCUAAUGUAUUUUGUCGUAACUAUGUAUUUUUCGGAUGUGUGCCGAGUAUUAUCCCCUUUGUUUAUUCUGUUGGCUUGCUUUCAUUGAUCUUAAGAUAACUGGUGCUAUAAAUUCACACUAGCUGAUGCACUUGCAAAUAGCUAUGUAAAUAUGAAAAGAAGUAUUUUUUUAUCCUUUUGUUUGUUUGGCAUCAUAUCUGUUUAAAUGGCAUAGCAAUAAGAAUUUUUUGUUUUUGGGGAAUCAUAUCUGCUUAAAUGGUAUAGAAAAUGCUGAGUGCACUGUCAAAUAGAUUUUCCAGCAGUCUGCUUUCAGUUGUUUUUGCAAAUCCUCACAGGCCAGUGAACUGACUUUGUUUUUACCACCCCAUGCCAUUUAAAUGACUAAAUCAGUCAGCCUAAUACUAUAUAUGGUCAUGCUAUGAUCUUAUUUCUUGAAGCUCUAUAGGUCAACCCAUAAGGGUAACUUAGUUUUUCCUAUUCUGGCUGGGGAAGUGGAUACGAUGGCUAUCCUUGGUAGAGUUAAAUACAUUGGCGGCUCUUAGCGCGCCAAUGUGGCACCACAAUAUCGAACAUAUGUAGAAACCCCCUUGUUUUUUCUCAUAUCCCUCUCUCUCAGCGUCCUCUUCUCUUCUUCUCCUCUGUCUCCUCCCCUCCCAUCGCGUGCUUUAUUGCGCCGCCGCCAUCCGCCUCCAUGUAUGAACACGUCGUUUGUCAUGAAGAAGCAGUUGAUGAGGCAAUCAAGCAUGUGGUGCACAAGGUUCUUCUGCUGGCCAAGUCCGAGUCGAACAGCCGCGCAUUCAUUGGGGAAGCACGCGCCAGGCAUCACCAGGCUCCUCGUGCCCCUACUCUGCUCCAAGGACUCGGUGCUUCGACGCGCUGCUUUCCCUGUCCGGCGAGCGGGGAUCGUUGGGAGAUGAUCGAUGGAGGAUGGAGCUGAUCCUCCUGUACACGGUGCCGGUGGGGAGCAGGGAGCUGCGGAGCAGGUCCACGGGCGGCGCCAUUACAGCAGGUGCAGGCUAAGGGUAAUGAGCAGAUCGAGGCGAUGGAGGAGGACCCGCACGAGGUGCAGCUUCUUCGCCUCCUGCGCAAAGUCAGCGCCCAAGCAGCCGCUGAGGGACAGGCCGAGGCUUAGCUCGAUCUCAUCCGACUAAAUGGUGGCUGCACUCCCACAGUCCCACUGGUGCUCCUCCCUUCUGUCCGAACCUGCCGAGGAAAUCCCUCGAUGCCAUGGGUCCCGGCUGGACGACUACUCCUCCCACAGAUUGACUGAGGAAGAAGAGCUUCUCAGUGUCCAAAAAUUCAGUUACACUGGAAACAGCAACCAAUUACGUUCUUCCGGCUCAGCCAAGCCCCAAUCUCCUUGCUUCUGUGCGCCCCUGCUAAAUAUUCCAGAAACCAAUCUGGUUAGUUGUUUUUUCACAUUUUCAGUGCAUGCCGGUGCUGCUGUGUGCGGCAUGCAUGGAGUUGUCGUGGGAGUGCACGGUGGCUUAGCUGGUGCGCCAGUGCGCGGGCACGAACACAACGGUGAAGAUGGCAGGGCCAUCUCAAAGCUCCUGAGCACCUGCACGCGUCGCUGAGCAGGACAUGCUGCGACGGUGGGCGAGCGCUGCUAACGCCCUGGGGAAGAGCAGUGGGUGCAGAGAGAGGGAGCGAGGGAGAGGGGUUCUUGUAUAUGUUUGCUAGCGUGGCACCGUUUACGGUGCCCGCCUAAGUGGCAUUCACGUGUCAUUCAUCCCAAAUGGUGUUGCAAGGUUGAACCUAUUGUGGGAGGCUUUUGGUUUCCCUUGACAGUAUCACCAGUGAUAUCACUGCGUUCUGGUUAUGUAUGAAACACUUGUCCUUUUAAAACCUUUCUGAAUUUAGAAACGAAUUUGAAACAUUACCCUCAUUUCCAUGUUUUUCUAUCUUUUGUCCCUGUAAAAUCAAACUAAAUUUGAAUUAUUAUGUUCAGAACUACAAGCUGAUUUACUUGUCCCAUUUGCUAAUAACAGGGCCUUGUGAUUUCUAAUGAACAUUGCAGAGCAUGUUAUAAAGCGUAUGCAUGAACACCAAGGGGAUGAAACCAUUGGUAUAUUUCUCACAACCUUUUGAACUUAUCAUUUAGCAUAUUUGUGUUCUAGUGUGACGUUUCAGCCACGAGACAUGAGAAAUGUUAGCUAUGGAUUUUGGUUAUUCAUCAUGGGUUCACAGAUUUGUUUUUCUCUAAAAGAAUUGGGAAGUAGCUUUCUUUCUGGGUAUAUGUGGGGAAAUGCAUAUGCAAUCUUUUAUUUAUUGAGGUGACUGUAAAAUUCUUGUCUGACUGAAUAUGCGAUUUCAACCUACAUGCUAUACUUAGGGAAAUUUGUGAAUCUCCUAAUGUCUGCUGCAUGGCAUGAAUGCAUAUUUUACUGGUCCAUAAUGUGAAGUUCUGUAUAUAAACUUCUCGUGUUGACCCUUUAGAACAUGCUAACUGGAGAGUUUUCUAGAGUAGUUAAACAAGAGAUUUAGUUAAAUCUGCACACAUAGGUGGGGCCUGGCAUACCCUAAGAAUCGGCCUAGCCGGUCAGCCCAUUAGUAAAAAAAAAAGCACCGCAGUCAGCAGUCCCCACGUUGGUCUUCCUCGAGUCGCGACUCGCGAAGCUCCCAUCCUCCGAGUCCAAGAUGGUGGACUGUGUCGAGCGCGGGGCGGGCGAUUAGUUGCCCGGCCGCCGGCGGGGGAUGGCCGGACGGCCAGAUCGCCGACUCCUCUAGUCCUCCCUCCAGCCUCUGCGCUUCUUUCACAGUGGAGCUAGCGGCGAGGCGCCCGACCGACACCCUUCUUCCCAAAUCCCGGCAGCCCUACCUCGAUUUGGCCUCCUCCGAUCAUUUGAUAAUCAAUUUGAUGAAAUUAAUAUGGAGUUGCUUUCUUGUAUGGUUGCCUUCAAUCCUGCUAAUUCAUUUGCUUCAUUUGAUGCACAAAAGAUACAUAGACUUGCUAUAUUUUUAUCCACAAGACAUCACAAGCACGGAUUUGCUAAAACUUGAAUUCCAGCUCGAUAUUAUAUUGAUGAUGUGAGAUAGGAUGAUAGUUUCAAAGGCCUACAAGAUCUUGUUAACUGAGACUCAGUUAAGCUUGUUGAAACAAACAGGCAUAAUAUUUAUGACUUGGUUUACUUGCUUCUCAAAUUGGUAUUGGUUCUUCUUGUGGCGACAGCUAGUGUUGAAAGGGAUUUUUGUGCAAUGACUUUGAUCAAGAGUAAGCUAAGAAAUAAGAUGGGUGAUAGUCUUUUGGAUGAUUGUCUUAUCACAUUCAUUGAGAAAGAUAUUUUCUUUGAAGUGGAUGAAGAAGAUAUAAUUAAGACUUCAUAUCCAUUAGAAAUCGUAGGCUGGAGAAGAAGUAAUAUUUUAAUUUUCUUUGAACGUUAGGUCUGUAAGCUUCUUUUAAACUAUCUACAUUAUAAUUUAUGGACCUUUUAAUUUAACCGUUGAAUUCAUGAUAUUAUGAGAUUUUUUUAUCUAUGUUAUUAUUGUUUACCGAUUUAUUACCAAAUUAUUAGUUUGAUCUUACAAUAUUGUAUUUUGGAUGAUUGGCUCGGCAUACUCUAAGUUUAAAUCCUAGCUCCGCCACUGUUUGCACAUUAAUGUGGCUUAUAUGUGUGGAGUCACUUAACCUAUGCACUUGGACCUCCACUCCCUUAGGUUUUAUGAACCUAAUUUGACAGCCUGCUCGUCUUUUAUUUUCUACCAAUCAGCUAGGAACGAACAUGGUGAUGUUUGCAUCUCUGCCAUCAAUGGCUUACAUGUCAUUAUGUAUCACAUUAGCAAGUCUUGUUUUGUUAUUGGCUGGGAUGACGGGGACUCUAGCUGGAAUUGAAUCAAAGUGGUAGAUCACAGGGUAUUCAUUGCCAUGUAUUUCUGCAGUUGCAUGGACUUGCAUCAAACGGACCUUCCUACUUAUGUGAUUGUCCUAUAUGAUCUCCUUUGAUUUCAUUUGCACACUGUAAUCACAUUAGCUAGAACACUCGCUUUUUGCUUCAAAUUUGAAAUUCAUAUCAUGAUGGACUAGAACGCUGAAUUUCUUGAUUGCUGAGUUACUAAUCACAUUGUGGCGCUGCCAAAGAAGCUGGACUCUUCAUUGUUGUUGCCUUGUGGGCUGCCGUGUGCAAAGAACAAGAGCGCACGGUAUUAUAAUAGCAGAGCAGAACACAGACAAGCGACAAGGAGCGGAGCAGAGCAGAGCACAGCCAGGCACAAGCAGUAGAGUAGAGCAGAGCAACCGGGAGAGGAGAGGGCACAUAUGCAGAGUAGAGCAGAGCCAAGCGCAAGCAUUCAUGCACUCAAGCAUGCAGCAGAGGUGUAGCAAGGCAAGCACAAGCAGCAGAGCAGAGGGAAGGGAAGGCUGGGAGAUGAAUAGGCGAAUAGUUACCUGGACAGAGCAGAGGGAAUGGAGAUGAUGCAGAUGCUUCCGGAGACUCGAGAUUUGGAGAGGAACAAGGCCACGUUGUGAACAAGGUCUCCUUUCUCUUCUCUAUUUCCCGCGCAAGUACUUGUGCAUAGUGGCUGCCUCAUCCUCCAGGACGUCCACUUCAACCUGAGGCGGGUGCCACAGACAUCCUGGCUAUGCGACGGCUACCCCCAGCACACCCCCGGCGCCUAUGAACCAUGAUCCUAAUACUAUAAAUUGUCAACCUUGUAAUCUUAUUUCAAGCAUGCUCUCUAUGUCAACCUGUAAGGUUAACUUCGUUUUUCCUUUUCUGGGUAGGGGAGUGGAUAUUGCUGUUAUUUAUAUUAUGUUGAUAUUGGUUUCCACAUGUCAUUCACCCCAAAUGUGUUGCAAGGUUGAACCUAUCAUCGGAGGAAUUUUUUUCCCUUUACCUUUAUAUCACUACGCUCUGGUUAUGUAUGAAACACUUGUCUUCUUAAAAACCUUAAUUUAGAAACAAAUUUGAAACACUAUCUUCAUUUACAUCCUGUAUGUGUUUUCUACCUUUUGUCCUAUAUGAUCUGCUUUGAUUUGAUUUGUGCAUAGUUUUUUCAAUUCAGACCUGGUGAUUUCUGAGGUUCAUGUUGUGCUGAUAAGCAGCCUACUAUUCAGUAACACUUUCAUGUGGCAUGUUCAUGUUAGCUAGCUAGAAACACUGCUUUUAGCUUCAAAAUUCAAAUUCAUGACAUGAUGGACAUUGACAAUGAAUUUCUUGAUUGCCGAGCUAUGUACACUGUAAUUCAGACCUGGUGCUUUUAGUUUUUUUCUUGAUUGCCGAGCUAGAAACACUGUGCUUUUAGUUUUUUCAAUUCAGACCUGGUGAUUUCGGUUUUUUCAAUUCAGACCUGGUGAUUUCUGAGGUUCACGUGUCACACCGAUUUUAAGAACAAAAUCGAGUGCAUUAAAUAUACAUGUACGCUAGGAUCAGGUUACACACAUGUACGACAUAAGCGAAUAUCAAAGACAAUGCCAUAACGAAAUAAAGAGAGUAUUAAUCAUUAUUACAUGACCGAAAGUCUCAAAUAAACCACAAAAUCUAUUUAUUACAUAGCGGAACUUCUAAGAUAGCAACGUCUCCACAGGCAGCUGACUGAAGAACUGUAUGCCUAGAACUCUUCAAAAUCGUGCAGGUACUCCUCCAGAUUAGCUUGGUAUGAACAACGGUUUUGCAAGGGUGAGUACACUUAUGGUUGGUACUUAAUAAGUCGUGGGAAACAAUGUAGUGUAAGGCAAAUCAAGGUAUGGCUAAGGCUUAAACAGCAUCAGCUUUUAAUUUAGUUGGUCAAAUUUUAUUAGCAAUUAAUUAGACGUAAAUUUAUACCACCCGAAAUUAAACAAGAACAUGAAUAAAAUAAUAACAUAACCAUAAAUGAAAUGACAACAAUUUAAAUCCAUCUUUUCAUAGCAUUAUCAUGUGAGGGUCCAGUCCGUUCUUAACCGUGAGCACCGCUGAUCGAUCAGUUUUACACUCUGCAGAGGUUGUACAUCUUUACCCACAAGUCGCGUAAAAGUUCAAAAGAAUUUUGGACCCAACCAUGCGGUAUUUGCAAGGCACCAUACCACACUUCCAAGGUGUGAUUGCAUAUGAACGCUACGAGGCCUUUACAAAGAUUCAUUAGUAAGUGGUAACCCGCUAAGGUUUCGGUAUUUGGCGUGCACAACCUAUCACAGGCCGCUAAUGCAACGACUCAGUCCCCCCUCUUGCCUCAUCACGAGUAAGAUUACCCCAGACUAAGGUUUCUAAUUAUUCAGCCAAGAUCAGAACCAUUUAGUCUUGUGGUAGCACUGUUUUCCUGGGUGGUUCUCCAUGUUCCGAUUAAACAUAAUGGUCUUGUAUUAAUGGAAGGUAUAACAUAAAUAAUACCAAAUUAAUAAUAAUUCAGAUUAAAUCACCAUAACCAUAUUUGAGCACUAAGCAUGAGCUACCCAACAUAAAUUUAACCCGGUUGGUCAAGGCAAGGUAGAUAAAGUCUAGGAAAUUCUUAAUUGGGACCCAUCAAGUUUAAAUUAUACUUUGCAUGGUAUGUUGCAUAGAACAUGAAAGUAAAUGUGAAUAGGACUGAAAAGGAGUGAUUAGGGACACGACUUGCCUUUUUAACCUUGUUCUUGCUGUUCGUACUCUUCGAAAACUUUGAUCUUCAAAUCCCUUGAACUGCUGACCGUCUACACGCGUCACACGACCACAUACAAGCAAACAAAUAUAAUACAUAAGAAAACAGUACACCAAUCAUAAUUAAAUAGAAGAAACAAAUUUGAAAAGCUAUUCUACGCAUUAAAACGAAAACACGGAUACAAGGAACGUUAAAAACGGAGCUACAGUGCAAAAACUACGCUUAAAACAAGAUGCAGGGGUAUAACUACGAGAAACCAAACUUCCAGGGAUUUAAUUUUAAAUAAUUUUGAACUGCAGAAGGGGCAGCAGGGCAAAACGUAGAAAAUGCAGGGGCUUAAGCGCAAAAGCAUGGCUGCUGACUCAGCUGACUUGAUGUGGAUCGUCGGAUGGCGAUCCGGCGGCCGGCAGCUGCUGCGCUGACGUCAGCGACGGCGAGCGCCGGCGAAAAACGGCAGUUCGCCGGAAUCGCCCGGGAACGCGCGACUGGGUGCAGAUUUGAGCGAGGAUUAGACUAGCAGAUAGAAACGAGCGCAGUGAACUCAUUUGGGAUGCCUACGGCGAGGACUUGGCGACGGCAUCGGCUCCGGCGAGAACUUGCGGCAGGGAAACCAAAUAAAAUAAAAUAACACGGUUCAGAGAAGCGGCGCUGGAGGAACGCGAGCGAUUUUGCGUGCGAGCGGAAGAAAACACUGCGAGGAAGAUGACUGCGGGCCCUGCUUGUCUGCGGCAGGAGGAGAGCUGCGUGCGAGAAGAACCUGGCCACGAUCUGGGCCGUUGCCUUCGAUCUGGGCCGAGGCAAGCUAGCUGGCCCGCUGCUGCGGAAAGGUGCUGGGCCACGGGCGGAGCACAGCGUCGGGCCAGAAAGGAGAUGGCUGCUGCGAGGAAACAAAAGAAAAUGAACUGGGCUGCGACAGAGGAAAACUGGGCGUCGGCCAGAAAGAAGCUGCGUGCAGCUUGCUCUUGUUUCCGAACUAGAAACAGGAACUGACGGAAAGACAGAAAUCAAUUGGAGACUGAAACUGACGCCCCAGACUCUGAACUUCGAAAAAACAGGACAACCAGCCAACUGACAGAAAAAAAAAAGCUUAACAACCCAAAAGCAGUACACAACCACGAAACCAGGCCACAAGACUGAAAAAGCUUGAUAGGAACAUCUGGCGACUGAACCAAAAAACUACAGAACUGCAACUGAAGAACUAGAGAACAGAUAAAUAACUGAUUGAACUCUGAAACUGAAACACCAAAGAGCAGGAAGCUGACUGACGGAAAAUGCAAAACAGCAACCCAAGGUGAAACACAAAUUCUUCUUCAAGCAUUCAAACAAAGAGAUAUGCAACAGCAUGAAUGCUCAAUAAAAUCCUAUAUUUCAUUAAUUAAUUAGAAAAAAUGCUCAAAUGCCUAGAAAAAUGCAAAAGUGACCUUAUAUGCCUUAAACAAGCAAAUUCGUUUCUAGCGAUUUUUGGUAAAAUGCAAAAUUAGAGAUUUUGGGUGUUACAUCAUGUUGUGCUGAUAAGCAGCCUACUAUUCAGUAACACUUUCAUGUGGCAUGUUCAUGUUAGCUAGCUAGAAACACUGUGCUUUUAGCUUCAAAAUUAAAUUCAUGACAUGAUGGACAUUGACAAUGAAUUUCUUGAUUGCCGAGCUAUGUACACUGUAAUCACAUUGUGGGGCUGAUAAAAUAAGCAGCGUUGAGACACAUAACAAUUGAAUCUUAAGCUUCACACAGAAUCUGGACCAGUCAUCCUCAUUCCUGUCAUGCUGGAAAUGUCUUUGAUACAUUUCAAUCACAGGCAAUUGAAUUCGUACUGGGGAGGAUGGCAAUGGUGCAUGAAGAGAGAUCAAUGUGGCAAAUCUCACAUUGUUCAUUACCAGGUAUCUCCGAUUUCUGGUUAUUUUAAAUUUACCUUGACAUGUGACUUAUUGAGGUAUUGUAUUUCAUCUAAUGGUAGUUCUGAAUUUAUGGUAACCUUGGAUGGGGUUUGUCACUUUAUACACGCACGGACUUACAAAGGACAGCAAAUGAGUAUAUUUAGAGGGCUCCUGUCCAACCAUGGACUAUACUUAUGUACCCUUUUUUGACAUGGUAAUUUGAGGUUAAUGGAAAAGUAGCGAUAGUCGCCUCCAGCGAAGCUACCUUCUUCGAAAGCUCCGAGGCUGCUUUCUCGCUCUUAGCAAGCCGAUCCCUCGUAAUCAUCGAAGAGUAAGAGACCUACAGAUUUUAAAAACCAAGUUACCAAAAAUAACGAAGUAAAAGACAACACUCGCAAGACAAACCACCAAACUAUCUCAUAAUUGUACCUUCUUUACGAGGUUCGCCUCCAAGUUAAAGAGCUCUUCCAAGAUCAUUGACUUCACAGCUUGCUGAAAAUCUAUGCGCCAAAGGAUAUAGUCGUAAGCAUAAAAUAAAAAUUGGUAAAAACCAAGGACAGCAAAGCCAUCUACAAGCUGUUCUUACCCUCAUACUUUCGCACCUCAACGGCGAUCGGAACAACCUUCUCUCUAGCCUCGCCCUUAGACGCCACCACAAUCUUCCCGCCACACAAAUCCACAACCCCUCCUUUACCUUUGCCCUCUCCCGAAGUCGUCGUGCCCGCCUUCUCCACCCUUUUUGAACCGCCAACAUCUGCAUAGCGCUCGCAACCUUCACCUUCAGCCCCCCAGACCAAAGACAGGUUGUGAGGAUUAUAAACCCUACCUUCGGCGCAUGUAGCUAGAAUCUCCGUGCGCCCGCUCAAGCCCAGACACUCAUUCAGUCCCUGAAGCCCCGCCGGCAACCUCUCACCUACAUCAUAACAUUCAACUUUUAGCCUCACAUGAUCCUCACAACUAACCUUACCAACGCCCCCCAUAGUUUCUUCCAAGUCCUUCAAAAAUUUCGUUGAGGCCUCACCACAAUCAAAGAACCGUAGCAUCGAUAGAAACACCUCUACAUGCUUACCAGAUCUCACAGCUUCGGCACACCCACCCUUUGGAUCAGAUGAGAACGCAUCCACAAGCUUCGCCUUUUCGGUGGCAAACCCCCUCUCAAGUUUCCCAACAUCAGUCAAGAGAUGUUGCGCGCUCUUAAACUUCGAGCUUAUGGAAGGCACCGUGAUCUUGGUACCAGCUGCCGAAGACGCGUCAACCUUGGCACCCGUAACAGUAACAGGAGCAAAUCGAGGUUUCUUGGCGCCUCUUUUGAUCCGUGCGGCGGGCCCGGUGGAUGAAGGUGCAAGAGCUGGAACCUCCUUAGGAGGGCGCAUAGAGACAGGAACAACAUAUGCCGGAUUGCUCAAGUCGCCAGACGAAGCUGUCGACCACGAUGGCAACAUAGCAGACGAAGCCCCCGCGGUCAUUUCCUUCCUUUUUUGCGCCUCCAAAUUCAAGGUCUUUUGCUUCGCCUUAGCGGUCACUUGCAAUUCAAUAGUGAGCUUCACCAUGGGUACGAAGUCAAAUUUUGCCUUUUUCCUCUGCUCAAGACUAGCACCGCGACGGCGCCUCUUGCCCGUAACUUUGGGGUGAGGCAGAACCACAAUAUCAUACAAGUCAAAAAUCUAAGAUGAUGACAUUCCAUUUGUAUCCAUGAUUUAUAUUGUGUUCCUUGAAUAUCCAUUAAAGUCUACUUGAAUUGAUUUGCAAUUAUGUGAAUUGUAUGUGAAACUCUUUCCUUGUAUGGUUAUUCUAAAGUUGUCCCUAGUCGGAGUUCAUGUGAGGACACAUGAAUAUUAGACUAGCACAUGUAUUAGUUGAUGACUAUGUUUCACAAGUCAUGGACAUGAAGAUGUGGAACUAAUAAUGUGGGCACAUGUGGAGACACGUGCUAGGACUGACCCAACACGAGAAGUAGUUCUCUCUUUAUACAACAUAUACGCUUUGUCCUUAGACCUGAGAUUGUCGCAUGUACUCAAGAUGUGGAUCGACUUACUUAGGGGCUAUCAAAUUCUACGCCGUAACAGGGUAGUUAUAAAGGUAGCUUUCGGGUUUGUCAAGAAGCAUGCUAUGAGACAUGGUCAAUCAAGAUGGGAUUUGCCCCUCUCUGAUUGAGAGUGAUAUCUCUGGGCCCCUCGAGUGAUCGGAUCCGAAAAUGCAUGGCCAUGCUACAUACGAUUAAGAGUUAGCCUACAAAAGGAUUCCGAAUCAUAGGAUCGAGAAAGAGCGGUCGGCUUGAAGCUAGACCAAAUAUCGUGAGGCAAAGGGAAUAGCAUGUAUAUAAUGUUGUGAUGGUUCGUCUGAUAUGAUCUUCGUGUGCGUAUAGGAGUUGGCACGUCUUGCUAGAGGUCGCUACCGACUAUUGGGCCGAGUAGGAGUACUCAGGCCAUGUCUAUACGUAUCCGAACCCAUAGGGUCACACACUUAAGGGGCUGGAAGCCCAAUUCGGAUGUGAUCCGAAUUGGAUUAGGUUUAGAAGUACUAAUGGGCCUUGGACCUAGAGGCCCGUUAGGAACCUCUAUAAAUAGAGGGGUGGGGGCGCCCUAGGGUUUACACCUUUUUGGUGAAACACAUCUGCCGCGCCUCCCACGCCUUCGCCUGUUGCAACUCGCGGACCUAGCAGUCCGGCUUGCGACGCUUCCUCCCUGCACGUGUGGAUACCUUGGAAGUGUUGCUCCUGCAGCACUUGGACGAGCCGCCAACGAGCCACGACGAGCCACGAUGAGCCGACGAUGAGCCGCGGCACGAGGGGGAUCUUGCUGCACGUGGACGAGCUGCUGAGGAGCUGCUGGACGUCGAUGUGUUCGACUACGUACGACUACGCUGAUCGACUUCGCUGCAUCAACGCGAAUCUACAUCUUCCGCAUCAUUGCAUCGAGUGGUAAUCCCGUGAUCCUGAUACGGCAGUUUUCCUAGUUUACGCGGUAGAAAAUUUUGUUUUGUGCUAGUGUAGCCUAACUCAUAUCCCAACAACGUGUGCUAUAGGUCACGCAAGCCUGAAAAUGGCCACACCGGACACCGGGUACGAAAACAUGGGGGAUGGACCGAACAUUUGAAAAUGGCCUCCAUAUGUGUUUUCGGCUAUGAAAAUGUGUGUUAUAGGUCACAGAAGCUUGAAAACGGCCGCACCAGCCACUAGGGACGAAAACGUGGGGGAUGGACCAAAGACAUAAAAAAUAGCCUCCAGACGCGUGUUCGGCCAUGAAAACGUGUGGUAUAGGUCCUGGAAGGCCAAAAACAGCUACACCGGCCACCUGGGACGAAAAAGUUUGUGUAAGACCGAACACUUGAAAAUAGCCUCUGGACGCGUGUUCGGCUAUGAAAAGGUGUGUUAUAGGUCACACGAGCCCCAAAACAACCACAGCGAACACCAGCUACAAAAACAUGGGGGAUGGAUCGAAUAAUUGAAAAUGGCCUCCAGACGUUUGUUCGGCCAUGAAAUCGUGCGUUAUAGGUCGCGGGAGCCCGAAAACGGCCACACCGGCCACCGGGAAUGAAAAUGUGGGGGAUGGACCGAACAAUUAAAAAUGGCCUCCGGAUGUGUGUUCGGCCAUGAAAACGUAUGUUAUAGGUCACGGGAGCAUGAAAACGGCCGCACUGGCCACUGGGGACGAAACGUGGGGGAUGGACCGAAGACGUGAAAAUAGCCUCCAGACGCAUGUUCGGCCAUGAAAAUGUGUGCUAUAGGUCAUGCAAGGCCAAAAACAGCUGCACCAGCAACCGGGGACGAAACCAUGGCUGUCAAACCGAACGCUUGAAAAUCGCCUUCGGACGCGUGUUCGGAUAUGAAAACAUGUGUUGUAGGUCACGCGUGCCCGAAAACGUCCACAACGGACACCGGGUACAAAAACGUGGGGGAUGGAUCGAAUAACUGAAAAUGACCUCCGAACGCGUGUUCGGCCAUGAAAACGUGUGUUAUAGGUUGCGGGAGCCCAAAAAUGGCCACACCGGCCACCGAGGAUCAAAACGUGGGGGAUUGACCGAACAAUUAAAAAUGGCCUCCGAUUGUAUGUUCGGCCAUGAAAACGUGUGUUAUAGGUCAUGGGGGCCCAAAAAUGGCCGCACCAGCCACCAAGGACGAAAAUAUGGGAGAUGGACCAAAGACAUGAAAAUGGCCUCCAGAUGCAUGUUUGGACAAAAGUGUGUGCUAUAUGUCGUGCAAGGCCAAAAACAGCUACACCAGCCACCGGGACAAAAACGUGGGUGUUUGACUAAACAAGUGAAAAUGGCCUCCGGAAGCAUGUACGGCUAUGAAAAUGUGUGCUAUAGGUAAUGGAAGGCUAACAAAAGCUACACCGGCCACCGGGGACAAAAUCAUGGGUGUCAGACUGAACACUUCAAAAUGGCCUCCGGACGCGUGUCCGGCUAUCAAAACGUGUGUUAUAGGUCAUGCGAGCCCGAAAACAACCACACUGAACACCGGGUACAGAAACAUGGGGGAUGGACUGAAUAACUGAAAAUGGCCUCUAGACGCGUGUUCGGUCAUGAAAACAUGUGUUGUAGGAUGCGGGAGCCCGAAAACGGCCACACCGGCCACCAGGGCAUGGACCAAACAAUUGAAAAUGGCCUCCGGAUGUGUGUUCGGCCAUGAAAACGUGUGUUAUAGGUCACGGGAGCCCAAAAAUAGCCGCACCGACCACUGGGGAUGAAAUCGUGGGGGAUGGACCGAAGAUGUGAAAAUGGCCUCCAGAUGCGUGUUCGGCCAUGAAAACGUGCGCUAUAAGUCAUGUAAGGCUAAAAAUUGCUACACCGGGACUAAAGCAUCCCCCAUGAGUUACAAUAAAAGGAUUGUAUCCUCUACUCAGUCGGAUGUACUGUGUAGGUGAGAUGGUAAGGAAGCUAUGCGCGAGGUUUGAGGUUGUGGGUUGAAAUCCUACGCACCGCGCGCACACGCGCAUAUUUUGUGUGAAAAAUCAUGUGACUUGUGAUCGGCCAAGGAGAAGUGGGUGCAGCUGUGGCUUAAGUGGCUGAGGCACGCUGCCAUAGACAUCUCCGAUUUGCUCGAAGACUACCAAGACACUAGCAAUAACAAGAACUACUGCUCUUCCUAGCAGACUCUUUACAACCACUUUAAAGCUGUGCAUUUCUCAAUGUAAUUUCGUAGAAGGCAAUCGAUCCAACCAAGCGACUAAAUCAUUUGUUCUUGCCAAUGAUGUACAUCAGGUUUUCUAUAUGAAGGACAUGUCUAGCAAACCUAAGAUUUUAGAAGAAAAAGAAAAAUUAUGGGAGUCAAUAAUAAAUCAGGCCAAUCAGGAGAUUAUAGUAAGCUCGAUGGUAUGCCUCCAUUCGAUGUCGAAGUUGGCCCAAGCAUCAUGUUAGCCAAAGAUCAAAUGUUCGUGCAUUGCUACGGUAAAGAUCAAUUGUGUCUUUUAAACCCAUGGAAUUUUUUAUCUAUGUUUUUAUUACACUUAAUGGAUGUCUACACAUUUGCUAGAAAAUCAAAAUAAUUUUGACUUAAUUAUUUCUUUCAACUCAAAUACUCAUUAAAUUUCUACCUUUUUAUUUAAGCAAGAGAGUUGCUCAAAAAAUGGAUACGUAACCAUGUUGUAUCAUACAAAGCAACCACAUUUCACAUAUAGUCUGGCUUAGCAAACACCAUUGUUGUCUUAACAUAGUGUUCAUGAGUUAGUAGACAUGGAUCUAUUUCUAAUUGCAAGUAGUGCAGCGUACAACCAGCCUGCACCGCCGCAGCUCAAUAUGCGAUAAUUUUUUAUCUUCCCAUGUAAUUUUUCUACUCUAGUACAUAUUGAACUCCACAUAAAUGUCAUGUUCUUUCACGCCACAGACGGUUUCUAAAGUUUGGAACUAAAUAGAUAGCCAAAAAUUUUAAAAAAAUAUUUAUAUGGAUACAUGUAUGUUCUUUGCAAACUAACAAUAUUGUUUACAAUAUCAAAAGGAAUAUGGCUAUGAUCAUUGCCGCAUAUGGCAGGUGAUGGUAGAUGCCGUAUGGGGUUUCUUUAACUUAAUUGUAUAAUAAGCUGAAAUACAUUUUCUAUUUGCAAAUGAAUCAUAGCUGAAAGUGGUGGGAUUGUAGAACCGCCGGCCAUCGUGUCCUUGUAGGACCGCUGCACGAGCCUGUGAGCCACCAGCCACCAUGCGCCCAAGGGCCAUCACCACGCCAUAAGAGGAUGCUGUCUACCCGGUUUCGCGCGCCUGUGCUAGCUGCCUGAACCUGGGCCGCCGCCGGUCGCCUGCCCAGCCGCGCGUUGCGCCAGGGUUUUGCUGGUGACGACCAUGGCCUUCGCGAUCAAAUUAAAAAGUUAUCAACUGCAAAGUAUUAGGUCUCGUUGAGCUCUACAAUUUUGAUAUAAAGUUUCUAUUCAUCCGAGAUCAAAUAAAAAAUUUGAUACUCAAAGCAUAAAUCCAUUAAUCUAGUCUUGCUAAUCCUUACCACCAAAUAAAAAACUAGCAUGUGUUGUGUGUUUGUGACCCUAAACGAUCACAAAUGAAUAACUUAUGGGCCUUGCUAGCGCCCGGAUGUCCAGGCCGGGGCACUAGCAUCAGACCCACGAGUAGCCGUCCGAUCAGGUUCGACACCACUUCAGGAUCUGGCUUAAAAAGAAGUCCCACCGAAACAUUGUUCCAUGUUGCAUGAAGCAACCCACUACCGUCGCCAGGUCUAGAGCAAGCACCACCUUCAAAUGUGCUGCUCACCCUAGCUAAAUAGGGGCAUUAAAAUAUUUCUCGCAUAUCCUUCUCAAAUUAAACAAAAUCGCAACAUCUGAAAAUUUUUACAGAAAACCAUGAAACAUAUCGAUUAGAUAGAUGUAACAAGAUGGAAUAUGGUAUAUGCAACAUAUAGGUUCCGAAAAGCAGAUGAAAUAUUAUGUAAUGAUUCUUGAAACAGUCAAGAAAAAUAGAUGUAACAUCUAAAAUUAAGAAAAGAAGCUUUAUGCAAAUUGCAAAAAGCUGAAACAAGUGGUUGAAACAUUUCAAAUCACCAAAUGCCACAUUUGAAAUGACCAGAUGAAACAUCACGAAAUCAAUUGCAACAGUUGAAGAUGAAAACAUUCAAAUGCCUUGCCUUUCUCCAAAUUUGACCCUCCAAGCAUGAGUCCAGCCAUUUGCACAUUAGACCCUUGGGAGGAGCUCACCGGAGAACAACAAGACCGUGUUAUCCAACAAUUUUCAGAUCAAAUUGCAACAUAAAGAACAAAGCAUUGCAACAUCUGGCAUCACGAGCUACAACAGCAACCAGUUAGGAUCAGGAGAAAGAGGGCAAACACAAGCCUAACAAUGAGUUAUAUCCGGUUUAAACAAGGAUAAAAAUGAGUGUAUUUUACACUCAUCAUGUUGUCUUUUCGCAGCUGUACCGCCUUUAGCGUGUUGUAUUGUUCCUAACACCAAGUCUCCGAGGCCCGAAAAAAUAAGGAAAGUGGUAGCAGCUCAGAAAUCGACUAAGUUUCUUUCCCCCUUUGGCUUUCCUACUAGGAUUCGGAAUCCUCUUUCGUAUGACAAUCUUAAUGAUCUCCCAUAGUCCAAAACUCACAAAAACAUCAAAAAUCCACCGAGAAUAAAUUAAGUAAAAAAACAUGCACACACAGAUAAUAAUAGUAAUCAUGUUUCAUUAUGAUUGCUAAGGUCAGACACAAUACAUAAACAUAUUAGACUGAGUGACCCACCUCACCUCAGAGUAUGCACCAUGUCUGAGUGACCCACCUCACCUUGCCAGGACACUGGUCCUGCCCUCGUGGUUCACGCGCCCUCGUGGUUCAGCAGUGGUCAGUACACAAAUCUAGCUGCCAGUCGGAUCCAAGGGCAGGCAUUUGCAUUGUGGUUGUGUUUGAACAUGGAGAUGUCAUUAUUAUUGUCAGGCACCAUACAUCCUCUCUCAGUUUCACUCCGCCUCACACACGGAUAGCACACCAGGGACCCGACACCAUGCAUGCCGAUUUCAUAUUAUUAAUAUUUAAUUUUUUUAAUGGUUGUUGAAACUAUAUUGUUGAUAUUUUUAUACAUAAUUUACGACCUAAUUUGGAUAUAUUUUUGAAAUAUUCCGAAAUCUUAAAUUCACACGUCUAGAGAUACAGUUAGUCCAAUCUGAUGUUUCCGAUUAUAAAAAUGAACAUAAAGAGAUAGGAAGCGAGAGACGUGAGGGGGAAAGUUAAAUUAGGGCCUAAGGGGUGAAGUUAGGGUUCCAGGUGAGCUGUCAUCACUACGUGUUUUUAAUCGAAAUUGGAAUGUCAGCAAUCGUCAGAUCUUGAGCCAACAGUUGAGACUGCCUCGGAAUGGUAAUUAGGUCUGCGCGAGCUUGCAUUGUGGCCUUCCUUGAAACCUUGGACAUAGGUGUUAUAUUAUUAUGUUCUUGCCAGCACACAGCAGUGAAGGACGACACAGUUGAGAUGUGCAUCACAUUUUCUAUAUGAAGGAUAUGUUUAGCAAACCUAAGAUUUUAGAAUAAAAAGAAAAAUCAUGGGAGCCAAAGCGCCACAUAGUUCUUCCAGGUAAAAAAAAAUCAUCCACUGGACCAGCACAUAGUAACGAUCCAAAAAGUCCAUAUUAAGAUUUUUUGAUAGCAGAAAAAACAUAAAAUGUCUAAUAUUUGUAGUAUUAAAAGGAAAAAUAAUAUAUUCACGUGACCUUUUUCCCGUAGCAAGGCACCGGUACGUGGUCAGACUUAAUGCACGAUGCCUAAGCAUCCAUUGGGCCUACCCUCGUGUGGAUCACGCGCAACAGGACACGGCUCACAAGCUAUGAUGUGCAGCAGUCGCUCAGAUGGCUGAAAGGUACCCUUAAUUUGAAUGGUACCAUAUAUAUAUAUAUAUAUAUAUAUAUAGUAAACAAGACAAACCACCGUUGAUACUACUUUGCACUACUUGAUACAUAUAUCUCCACCAAAAGCGAGGCACGUGGGGAGGAGAGAUAUGUGGUUGAUGGUGCGGGCACGUGGCGAGUGCACCGUACGAAAAUUUUGCUCGUGUCGGACGACUGAUGUGAAGCAUUACCCAAUCUUAAUUAUCUCCCAUAAUCCAAAACUCACAAAAACAUCAAAAAUCCGCCGAGAAUAAAUUAAGUAAACCAUGCACACACAGAUAAUAAAAUUGCUAAUAAGGCCAGAGACAAUACAUAAACAUAUUAGACUGUUCAUGACACAUAUCACGGUGGAUAGUGUCUGUGUCCUUAUUACAAGCAAUGAGAGAUGCUUGUCACCACACACACGCGCACAGAUGCACAACAUACAUAUAGUUGAGACCAACAGAUGGAUCAACUAGAGGUCACCCCAUAUGGUGAACAAUUUAUUGGAGAUAAACAUUAACAUAACUUGGCCAUAGCUUGAAGCAUAGCAACAUAUGCCUAUGAACGGCGUUCAUGCUAUCAUUUUAGGCUUGUCCGCUUCUUCCAUCUUAGCAAGCACUUCCAUUUCUACCAUCUUAGAAGCAACUGUCAAAUUGAGAUAUGGAAAUCCCAUUAGCGCAUGAGUUAAUUUUGCAGUGAAAAUAGAGUACAAGAUAUCUUCAUGAUGUAAGUAACAUGCCUGAAGUUGUGAGAUGGGAAGUGAAGUCAACAAAUUACAUUAACGGAAAUGCAUGGAAGGCCACACAUACGUAUUAGUCCAUGAUAUGCUACAAAGCUUGUAUGUACAUAUAGCAAAUUAAAUGCAUUAAUUGAAUAGAGUGAGUUUAGUGAAUUUACCAGAAUCGUCCAGAAAACAUGGGAAACAGCAAGUGUUCUUGCAGACUGCGUCGGUGCCACCCACAGCAAUACAACCAAAACAACAUGCUUUUGCCCGAGCGGCUGCGCAGCAGCCGCACUCUGCCGCGGUGGCCGAGUUAGCAUUGAGGCUCAAGAUGACCAGGCACAUGAUCACCAUCAAAGCGGUGGUAGUCCUCUUUCCCUCCAUUGCCUCCUCUUGCUGCUACCUUCCUUGGUUACCUAGCUAAGUUUAUUGGUUUUGUGUUGAGAGGUGAUUCUUGCAUUGAAUGGACGUUGCCGCGGCUGCAAUUUAUAGGCAGCUGCGCUAUGUGAUGAUAUGGACAAGGUGCAAAUGGGUGGUCCUGAUAUGGAUAAGGUGCAUGCGAAUGGCUGUCUACUUGUAUAGUGGCGCUCCAAUGUACAUACGUAUGUAUCUUAUGCAUGUAUACAGUUGAUGGAUGUACAUGUUUGUUGCACAAAUUAUUCUGAACCAACUCUUCAUAACAGGUCUUUGUUACCAAGUAAUUUUACUUUUGCACGUUUCAGCCGAGAGGCAGAAGAGAAUAUUUUACAGAGAGGGCAGAGAAGGAGGUUGGCGGAGGCGCCGUGGUAGGGUUCCCCGUGUCGCCAAGAUUUUUGCAUUUUAGAUGUGUGUAUUGAUCACUUCGUCGUGCUCGCGGGGCCCAACUCCAGGUUGUACCCCAGCAGACCACGUUCUGUUUCUCUGCCUCCAAUGAGCAUGCAUGCCUCCACAAGGACCACAAGACUUAGUAAAAAAGCUAAACUUUGCAACACGAUGUAUACAGAACGUUUUGAAAUGUACUCUCGUUAGGCAUUCACCUCCUUAACAAUCACUGCGACUGUAAAAGAGGUACAUCGACGCUAGCUAAAUAAACCACUAUAAGAUUUAGCAAGAGAUCAUUUUAUACAAUCCUGUAACGAAACAAUUUGACAAUUAUAGUGUCCAUAUAUUUUGACAAAAAAACGUUUAAAUUAUAUAAGGAGGUGGGCCCGAAAACGGUUGGAUUACAUCGAGAACGUUUUGAAACAGUUGGCGGAGCAGGAUUCUGGCGUGGAGCAUCUACAUUGUCGCGCGCGCGGACUGCCGGAGUAGGCACGCUCGACUUGUCCCAUCGCCAGCUAAAUGAUUUAGUACCGGAUGGUCUCUAGUACCGGUUGGAGCUACCGUCCACCAGGAGCUUUUCUAGUUUGGAACUGGUACUAAUGCUAAUAUUAGUAUCAGGUCAAAAACAAUCGGUACUAAGGCUAGGGAUGACACGUCAUUUUUCUAGUAGUGUGUGCAAUUGGUUUUGUAAUUAGUCUAUAUUUAAUACUUCUAAUUAGUAUCUACACAUUUUAUGUGACAGGGACUGAACUUUAGUCCGUGGAACCAAACACCCCAUAAGUAUGUUUGGUGCUGUAAGGAUUUCGGUUUUAUUUAAUUUCCUAGGCAUUUAAAUUUCUUUCUAAAAUAAGUUAAUGAAUCAUAGGAUCUCAUUGUUGUAUUCAAGCUGGUGCAUUGAUUUUGCCUAUAAAACCCGCCGCGGUCUUCGCAGCCCCCAUCAAACCCUAGCGCCCUUGCCACAAGCUCAGCACCGCUGCCGCCCGAGCUCGAGCACUAGCACCCACCCAUCGCCGUUGCCUUCCCGUCGAUGGGAUCACCGCCCGGAGCUUCGCAUCGUGGUAAGGAAGCCGCCCGUGAAGAUCCCAUGUGCUCCUAUGCCCUCUACCGCGUCCCCGAGUUCCCGGAGUUGCUAGUCUCCCACCGAGCCGACUCUCCGAGCUUCACGUCACUGGUGCCGCUCCGAAGACCUAGUUCGGUUCGCCAUGCACCUCGCUUCAUCCUGAGCUAAACCCCAUAAUGAAUGGUGGUCGGAUGCUCGCCGCCACGGCGCGUCGUCUUUUCUGUCGCCCGUGCAUUGCCUAUCCCCUUCCAGCCGAUUGCAGCUGUCCGAUCGCAAACCGGUGGCCCUGAUCGGAUACCAAGGUCAAUACCGGUCGAACCGAGCCGUGCGCUGCUUUUGCAAGAAGGCCCCUGUUUUUCUCUCUUUUUGCACCUGAGGUCCUACGCAGUUCAAAAGUAAUAAGAUCUAGGUCCUUUUUCUUUUGUUUUAGCCCGUGUUCUUUUAUAAAAUCCCGCCCACUAUUCUGUUUGGUCUUUUGACGCGUUAGACCUUCUUUUUAUAUGUUUAAUUAGGUUUUAGGUCUCGAUUUCUUUAAGUUUAGCCCUUGAAAGUUUAGUUCUCUCGCAGUUAAGCCCCUGAACCUUGUUUAGCUCAUAUCUUAAGCGUUUUAAAUCCGUUUUAACAGAUUCUUGCGCCUAUAAGUUCAUGUUGACGCAUAGAUUAGUUGACUUAUACGAACCUUGCUGAUUCAGCUCCUUGAUUGUGCUUCAGAUCUCGCUAGGGAAGAAUAAUGGAUGGGCUUUGGUUGAGCUUGUAGAUCGACUUGCAGUUGCAGUGAAUGAGCAGAGGAUUGGCAGUGAAUAAGAUCAGGCCGCUGCCCUGCUUGGUAGGGAAAAUAUCUGCUUGCUACCAAGGCCUGUGACGCAUGGACCCCAUUGAGAGUGCAUUAUUGACAAGGACUUAAAGCCAAGGGCUCCACACCUGUCAUUGAUCAGCUGUCUGCUGGGCGCUGCAAGGAGGUAGUGCAUGUUUGACAUAAAGAAGCAGGUGGCCCAGGAUUUACGAAAAAUAAGGAUCUAUUUGAUACCCUUGCUUAUAUUUAGGGGCUAAAAGUUGCUUAUUUGAAGUUGCUUAUUUUUAAUCCUAGCUGUUUGAUUGCAUGGGCUAAAGAGCAUUGAAUGAGGUGGAUAUUGUCAUGUUUGCCUCUAAUGAUUGCUUCCCAUCACAUUUCUCCCCCCUCAUUCAACGAGGGAAGGAGGUGUAAAGUGCACCUUUUAGCCCCGAUAAGUAACCCUUGUGUUGUUUACGGGCUGAACAUAAGUAGCUAAAGUUUAGCUCCAAUAAACAAGAGUGUUUGGUAUUUUUGGGGUUAAAAGGGGCUAAACUUUAGCUGCUUAUGCAUAAGCAAGGCCAUCCAAAUAGGCCCUAAGUAUGUUUGGCGUUGUAAGUAGGUUUUAUUUAAUUUCCUAGGCAUUUAAAUUUCUUUCUAAAAUAAGUUAAUGAAUCAUAGGAGUUCAUUGUUGCAUUCACGCUGGUGCAUUGAUUUUGCCUACAAAACCUGCUGCCGUUUCCGCAGCUCCCAUCAAACCCUAGCACCCCCGCCACGAGCUCCAGCGCCGCUGCCGCCCGAGCUUGAGCACUAGCGCACACCCAUCGCCGUCGCCUUCCUAUCAAUGGGAUCACCGCCCGGAGCCCGUGUCAUGGUAAAGAAGCCGCCCGUGAAGAUCCCGUCCACUCUCGUGCCCUCUACCGCGUCCUCGAGUUCACCGGAGUUGCCAGUCUGCCACCCAGCCGCCUCUCCGAGCUUCAUGUUGUCGUUGCCACUCUAGCUGCCUCUCUGAAGACCUAGAUCGGUUUGCCGUGCACCCCGCUUCAUCCUGAGUUAAACCCCAUCAUGCCACGUCAUAGUAAGGAAGCUGCUCAUGAAGAUCCCGUGCGCUCCCGUGCCCUCUACCGCGUCCCCAAGUUCACUGGAGUUGCUAGUCCACCACCGAGCCGCCUCUCCGAGCUUCACUUCACAGUCGCUGCUCCAGCCACCACUCUGAAGACCUAGAUCAGUUCGCUGUGCACCCCACCUCAUCCUGAGCUAAACCCCAUGACGAACUGUGGUCGGAUGCUCAUUUUCGAGUGAAUUCCGGCGAGAUGGUCGCCCGCCGCCGCCAUCUCCAUCGCCCAUGCACCGCCUGUCCCCUUCCAGCCGAUGUCCGAUUGCAAACCGAUAGCCGAAAUCGGAUGUGGUCACCAGGAUUAAUACCAGUCAAACUAAGCCACGCGUGCCGCUUUUGCAAGAAGGCCCCUAUUUUUCCCUCUUUUUGCACUUGAGGUCCUAUGCAGUUCAAAAGUAAUUAGAUCAAGGUCCUUUUUCUUAUGUUUUAGCCCUAUUCUUUCAUAAAAUCCCGGCUGCCAUCCUGUUUGAAAUAGAUACGGUUAUAGAUAUGCAAACAUCUGCAUAUUUCCAACCGUAUCUCUUUCGAACGGGAGACGCCUAACUAGGUUACGUGACAUACGAACAUCAUACGGAUAGAGAGGGGUAGGAUGUCUCACCUUGCUAUCCUACAAAGUGACGACUCGAGGACAGUAAUGUAGCCUCUCCUUCAAAAAAAGAACAUACUACUAUCAAGUUAAAUUUUUGACAGCACCUCCCCUGCACGUGGAGGUUUCCAUAACCUGCAUCAAAUAAAACGGCACGAUGGCUGACAACCACAUCUACAGCACCAGAAUGGCACGAUGGCCGACUUCCACAUAAAGUUCUUAUACCUUAGAUUGCCAAGUCAAACAUCCUUUUCUAAUUUCUAAAACAAAAGCCCUCCCACCUCUCUAUCUUAUACUUUCCUAUUUACUAAUUGCUUUUGUAAUUUCUAAUUUCUAUUUCAUCCUACCACCUCUGUACCCUUUUCUCAUUUCUAAUUCCAAUUUUCUAACUUGAAGAGCAAAGAUUGAUUACUAGGAGGGGUGAGGGACGCCGGCCUAGAGAGGCGAGGGGACGUCCGGCGGCGGCGGGUGCGUCGGGGGUAGGAUGCCAGGGGCGGCUGCAGGGGCGCCGGGUUGGGGGCGGCCGGGAUCGAGGGCACCAGUAGCGGGGGCACCGGGCCGGGGGCGGCCGGCGGGGCGGGACGCCAGGGCCGGGGCGACGGGCGCCGGUGGCGAGGCCGCCCGGCCGGUGGUGGCCGGCGUGGCGCCUGGGCCGGGGGGGGGGGGCGGGCGGGGUGCGGCGCGGCGCGCCGGGGCAGGGCGCCGAGGCUGGGUGGUGGGGUACGGGGCGGCGGGCGGGGGGUGGGGGGAGGGUCGGCGGCGGGGCGCGGGGGCGGCCAGCGGCGACGGCGGAGGGCGUCGGUGGUGUUUCGGAAGUGAUACGGAGGGGGUAGAGAGAUUCGUUUUCGCGGCUGAGUGUUCGAGUCAGAAGGCCGUGCGGCUUAAGUCAGGUGGUUUGCCGAGUGCGCGCGAUCUGGCACUCGGCAAAGUCAGAAGUUUUGCCGAGUGUCAGAUCGCGGGCACUCGGCAACUGCAGCUUUUGUCGAGUGCCCUGGAUUCGGCACUCGGCAAAGUGAAGUUUUAAUUUUUUUUAAAAAAAUUUAAUCGGAACACGGGCGUGCCAGCGGGCCCGUGACAUACUUUGCCGAGUGUGUAGCAAAAACACUCGGCAAAAUAUUAUCUUUACCGAGUGUUUUCGCUAGGCACUCGGCAAAGUACACUUAUAUUUCAUGUACACUUUUUCAAUAACGUGUUUUACUAACCUUUUUCUGAUAUACUUGGGAAAAACCUUAUCAAAUUCACUCAACAAUGGAUAUAUGGUUUUUCUACUGACAUUAUUCCAUUAUUUCAUUCAGUUAUAGCUCAAAUUGAAUUUAUAUCUAUUAAAAAUCAAUAAUUGCAUUUAAUAAAUAAAAAAUACCAAACGGAUCUGAAAAAUUUCCAAAAUUUGACAUGAACCAAUCUAUGUUGUAUGUUGCCUGUACAAAAAGCUUUGAAGUCAAACCCCAAUUCAAGUGUCACUUGGACUCCAAAUCUUAUCGGAUCCUUUCUAACUUCUAUGAAUCCUUUCGGGAGAUGAGUCGGUUUGUAAGCAUCAUAUGUCAUAAAUUGGGCGAAACCUUCUCAAUUUUUUACCACAGCCUCCACAUAUAAUAUCAUGACACCUUGACAAAUCUUGUGAUUUUCAGACUUCGUUUGCUUUUUUUAGAAUUUAACAACCAUUCAACCACAUGUUCGUGAUCGUGUUUUCUAAAAAAAUGUUCAAAAUUUCUUUUCAUUUCCUGGUUGAGACCUCAAUCCGGAUUGAAUAAUAUGAAUAUGAUUUUUUCACUGAUUUUAAUCCAUUAUUUAAAUCACUUGCAGUUAAAUUUGACUUAAAUAAACAAAUUCCUAUUAAUGCUAUCAAUUCAUUAAAAAUAGCAAACAGAGAAAAAAUAGACCAACUUUUAAGAUGGAUUACCAAAUGUCAUAUGUGGGGAGUAGAAAAAGUGUGGAGAGCAGAGGUGGAAAAAAAAGUUUUGCCUUUGCCAAGUGCCUACACAAACACUCAACAAACUUUGCGGAGUGCCUAUUGAAAACACUCAGCGAACUUCUGAGUUUGCCGAGUGUCUGGAGGGAGCACUCGGCAACCUACUUAUUUGCCGAGUGUCCGCGUCGGACACUCAGCAAAGUACUAACGGCUGGCACACUCCCCUAACGGACGGCGCACGUGCAAGCCAUGUGCUGGAGAUUUAUCGAGUGUCAAAUCGUUGCCGAGUGUCGUGUGGAUGUUUGCCGAGUGUCUUAUUUGUGACACUCGGCAAAGCUAUUGUUUGCCGAGUGUAUUAUUUAUGCCGAGUGUCUUCCAGUAUACACUCGGCAAAUGAUGUCUUUGCCGAGUGCUCGACAUAAAGCACUCGGCAAAAAUUUUACACUCGGCAACAUUCCUGUUUCCGGUAGUGAGUGACCCGGGACUAAAGACCCCCGUUGUCUCUGAUUGCUUUAUUCCGGAUGGAUUUUCAGGAGAUUUGCUCCCUACCAAUAGGGACUAAAGGCAAGUUUUCCACUUAUAGCAAACCAGUUAGCCCAUUGUUGAUGGAACGCAUCACUAGAAACAGCUCGGGAUCCACUUGUCCAAUAAUCGAGAGGGCCUAUAUAUGGACCACGUGUGCGGAUCCCUAAUUAGGAAAAAAGAAUAAUGGAGUAGGACAUCUCCAUGCUCACCUAGUAGCCGCUGCUAGCUUGUGCGUGUGGAACACGAGUGCCGGCCCAGUUGGCGCUAAGACAUCGUACGUGCAUUAAGGCUACGAUCUCUUUCUUCUAACUCAUGCUUGUGCUAUUAUACAUUAUUGCAUGAUCAUCAAGAUAAGAUCGUAUAGUGACUGAGUGAGACAUGUAUGUACUAACAUGCAUUUAAGCCUCGAACUGUGUGUUGUUACGUGAGCUGCCUCCUCACCUCGCCUCUGAAUUAUUGAACCGUUUCCAACAGUGUUGGUCUCAAAUAAAUUUGACACCAAACAGAUUUAUGAAGAAGAGAGAAUAAUACUUGGAAUUGGAAAAAGUUUAUCUCUCUUUACAAUGGAGUAGGGCUCCCUUUUAUAGUGACCCAUAAGCCACUUUACAUUUGGAAAAUGUCCUUCCUCAACCACUACAUUAAUUCCUAGGAUAUGCUGUACAUAAAGGUCAUUUGAGGUAACGUGUACAAAUGAACUCUUCCACAUGGUCACGUUUCUCAUGCCUCCUGUUUUCCAACCUCGAGACAUCAUCUUCACGCCAAGUUGAUCAUCUAGCCUCGAGGCUCCAUCCACGAUCCAGAAUGAACGUCCAGGCUUGAGGCUCCUUCUUCGUUAAGCUUUGUUGAGAACUCAUAACCUCACAUAGUUCUCCUCCGAGUAUUGUUCCCGACUCAGAACACUCGAGGUUUAGCUCAGUUGGAGUUUAGCUAUUACUGUUGCUAGUCACCAGCCUCGAGCCCCUCCAGAAGCAAGGUGAUGCGAGGGUACGAGUUUUACUAUUAAAGGUGUUUCCAUAGAAUGUGCGAGGUUAAAGCACUUGCAGCAAAAGCGUGGAGCUGCUUUCAACCAGAGUGCAAUAAUGCAGCCGUGCCCAUCUUGGUCUUGGUCUCCGCCUGAACUAUAGCAGAUGCUGGCAGCGGUAGCAGGGUGGUCCAUUAUAUCUAUGGAUGGCAAUGGUCGGAUUCGGAUGGAAUCGAAUUCGAAUAGCACUUUUUACCACAUACUAAUUCAAAUCCGAAUUCGGAUUCGGAUGUUCUCGAAUGCGAAUGCAAAAUGGAUGGUUCGAAUUCGAAUACUUAGCGGAUUUUUGCAUAAUAUUAAUCGAAUAGAAUUCAUUAAAUUUAGCCAAGAAAUUAAAUUUUCUGAAAUUAAAUACUUUCCCUUCGCCCCAGCGGCGGCCUAACUCCCAGGACGGUGGCGUGCGGGGCCCGAGCAUCCCUGGCCUCUAGUGGCGUGGCGGGGCGGCAUCCAGCAGCAGCGGCGGGGCUCGGCCUCCGGUGGCGCGCGGCCAGCCCGACCUACCCGGUCAGAGGUGGCGCAGCGGUGCGCGGGCCUCCCCGACCAGAGCCGGUGGGGAGCGGUGCGCGGGGAGGACCUCCCCAGCCGGAGGUAGCAGGGCGCGACCUCCCCGGCCGGAGGUGGCUCCCUGUGGGGGCGCGGCCGUGACAGCUAGCGAGGCAAUAAUUGCUUCCGUACGCAGCAAUAAUUGCUUGUGCGACACCGUGUUAUUACUCUGGUACAGUACUCCCUCCGUUGCAGUACACUGGUCCAGGCGUCAGGACACUGCUCCUGCCCUCGUGGUUCACGUGCAUCAGGCCAGCAGACAAGCUAUGAUGUUGCCAACAGUGUUUGUUUGAACAUGGAGAUGUCAUUGUGAUUGUCAGGGACCCGACACCAUGCAUGCCGAUUUCAUAUUCUUAAUAUUUAUUUUUUUAAUGGUUGUUGAAACUAUAUAGUUACUCCAAUAUCACGUUUCCGAUUAUAAAAAUUAACAUAAAGAGAUCGGAAGGGAGAGCCCGCAUAAUGAAGCCGACGCGUAUAAUAAGCACUAGAGCCGGCAUUUAUACAAACGGGUACGCAUAGUAAAAACUAGAAUUUAUAAAUAAAUGAAGAUAUUCAAAUAUCUGGCUUACUUUUUUCAUUAAUUUUGCAUGAAUAAGGGAUGAUUCAUUAAUCAUUAUUGAACAAAUUGGCACACAUGCUUCGUGCCCGCGUUGUGAGCAUUAUGCGAUGCCACUGAGCUGCACCACCACGGUAGAGGGCCUGUUUGCGAUGCCACCGAGCUGCACCACCACGGCAGAGGGUCUGUUUGGGAAGGGGAAGUUAAAGUUUAACACCCCCCAUUUAACACCUUUUUAACAAAAUGGCUGCUAAACACUUGUGUUAAAAGAGUAGUGUUAAAAUUUAACACCUCUCUUUUCAUAAACACAUGGAGGGGGUGUUAAAAUUUGCUAAAUGUGUUAAAAGUGGUCCCCUCCCCACUUAUUCCUUGGUUGCCCCCCUCUCUCUCCUCCUCUCUCUCCUACCCGCCGCAUUUAAGAGCAUUAUUGAGGGGUAAUGCAGUCCUUUUCCAACAAAAGUGUUAAACUUUAACAACCCUUCCCAAACAUGCCACAAGCAACACCACCGGCUGACUGUGCUAGCGGGGAGCACCCUCACCGCCUGCCCGUGGGGACUUCUUCUGCCGGCCAUCGUGUCUUUGUAGGACCGCCGCGUGAGCCUAUGAGCCACCGGUGGCCGUGCGCCCAAGGGCCAUCACCAUGCCACCUGAGGAUGCUGUCUACCCGGUGCCGCGUGCCUCUGCUAGCUGCUUGCACCUGGGCCGCCGCUGGUCGCCUGCACAGCCACGCGUUACAGCCGCCCCCCUGCGCUGGGCCACCCCAUUUCGUGUUGGAAGAACUGCCACAGUCUCGCGCACUGGGGUUUUGCUAGUGACGACCAUAGCCUCCAAGAUCAAAUGAAAAAGUUGGUACUCAAAACAUACAUCCAUUAAUCUAGUCGUGCUAAUCCUUACCACCAAAUAAAAACUAGCAUGUGUUGUGUUUUUGUGACCCUAAACGAUCACAAAUGAAUAACUUAUGGGCGUUGCUAGCCUAUAAGUUAUGGGCGUUUGUGACCCUAGUCGCGCCGGGGUCUUGCUGGUGACAACCAUGGUCUUCGCGAUAAAGUAUUAAGUCUCAUCGAGUUCUACAAUUUUGAUAUAAAAUUUCUAUUCAUCCGAGAUCAAAUGAAAAACAAAUGAAAAAAUCCGAAGUAUUAGGCUUCAUCGAGCUCUACAAUUUUGAUAUAAAAUUUCUAUUCAUCCGAGAUCAAAUGAAAAAAUCCGAGAUCAAAUGAAAAGUUGGAACUCAAAACAUACAUCCAUUAAUCUUGAUAUAAAAUUUCUAUUCAUCCGACAUCAAAUGAAAAAGUUGGUACUCAAAAUAUACAUCCUUUAAUCUAGUCGUGCUAAUCCUUACCACCAAAUAAAAAAACUAGCAUGUGUUGUGUGUUUCUGACCGUAAACGAUCACAAAUGAAUAACUUAUGGGUGUUGCUAGCGUCCCGGACGCUAGCAUCGGACGCAUGAGCAGCCGUCCGAUCGGGUCCGACACCACUUCACGAUCUGUCUUAAAAAAAAGUCCCACCGAAACAUUGUUCCAUGUUGCAUGAAAUACCCCACUAUCCAUCGCCAGGUCUACAGCAAGCACCACCUUCCAAUCUGCUGCUCACCCAAGCUAAAUAGGGGCAUUAAAAUUGCAGAAAUAUGUCACAUAUCCUUGUCAAAUUAAACUAAAUCGCAACAUCCGAAAAUUUCUUACACAAAACCAUGAAACAUAUCGAUUAGAUAGGUGUAACAAGAUGGAAUAUGGUAUCCAACAUAUAGAUUCCGAAAAACAGAUGAAACAUUAUGUAACGAUUGUUGAAACAGUCGAGAAAUAUAGAUGUAACGAUUAAAAUUUAGAAAAGAAGCUUUAUGCAAAUUGCAAAAAGCUGAAAUAAGUGGUUGAAACAUUUCGAAUCACCAAAUGCCACAUUUGAAAUGGCUACAUGAAACAUCACGAAAUCAAUUGCAACAGUUGAAGAUGAAAACAUUCAAAUGCCUUGCCUUUCUCCAGAUUUGACCCUCCAAGCAUGAGUCCAGCCAUUUGCACAUUAGACCCUUGGGAGGAGCUCACCGGAGAACAACAAGACCGUGUUCUCCAACAAUUUUCUGAUCAAAUUGCAACAGACAAAACAAAGCAUUGCAACAUCUGGCAUCACGAGCUACAACAUCAACAAGUUAGGAUCAGGAGAAAGAGGGAAAACACAAGCCUAACAACCCCAAGACAAAACUGAUGUACUCAUCAUACAUCACGGCUUGCCGUGCACAGAGAUGAAGGCCGCCAAGCUCAAUCGAGACAGAGACGACGUGAUAGUGCUCCAGAUCGACGGUCCCCAUCAAUUGUUGCGUACACUGCCAAAAGCAAUGGAAGAAGAAGGGUCGUCCCUGCUCGACCUCCGUAGAUGAGCGCAGAUUGGGGGAAACCGUAUAGAGUGCCGCUGACAGCACAGGCGAGGGGGCUCAGGCUUGAUUCAGGGUGAGGGUAGCGGGUAGCAUGAGGAGACAGUCAGGUUUCAUAGGAGAGAGGCGGAGUAGAGAGCUCUGGUGACUCGGUGAGGAGGGUGCGGCACGGAGAAAGGUGUGUAGCUGAAGGAGCUACAUGGUUGGGGCGAGGCGAGCGUAGAGACUAGAGAGGGAAAAAAAGCAUGGGGAGGAGACGAUAUGUGGUUGAUGGUGCGGGCACGUGGUGAGCGCACCGUAUGAAAAUUUUGCUCGCGUCGGAUGACUGAUGUGAAGCAUUACCCAAUCUUAAUUAUCUCCCAUAAUCCAAAACUCACAAAAACAUCAAAAAUCCGCCGAGAAUAAAUUAAGUAAACCAUGCACACACAGAUAAUAAAAUUGCUAAUAAGGCCAGAGAUAAUACAUGAACAUAUUAGACUGUUCAUGACACAUAUCACGGUGGAUAGUGUCUGUGUCCUUAUUACAAGCAAUGAGAGAUGCUUGUCACCACACACACGCGCACAGAUGCAUGACAUACAUAUAGUUGAGACCAACAGAUGGAUCAACUAGAGGUCACCCCAUAUGGUGAACAAUUUAUUGGAGAUAAACAUUAACAUAACUUGGCCAUAGCUUGAAGCAUAGCAACAUAUGCCUAUGAAUGGCGUUCAUGCUAUCGUUUUAGGCUUGUCCAGCUUCUUUCAUCUUAGCAAGCACUUCCAUUUCUACCAUCUUAGCAGCAACUGUCAAAUUGAGAUAUGGAAAUCCCAUUAGCGCAUGAUUAAUUUUGCAGUGGAAAUAGAGUGCAAGAUAUCUUCAUGAUGUAAAUAACAUGCCUGAAGUUGUGAGAUGGGAAGUGAAGUCAACAAAUUACAUUAACGGAAAUGCAUGGAAGGCCACACAUACGUAUUAGUCCAUAAUACGCUACAAAGCUUGUAUGUACAUAUAGCAAAUUAAAUGCAUUAAUUGAAUAGAGUGAGUUUAGUGAAUUUACCAGAAUCGUCCAGAAAACAUGGGAAACAGCAAGUGUGCUUGCAGACUGUGUCGGAGCCACCCACACGAAUACAAAGCUGACAACAUGCUUGUGCCUCGUGGGAUACGCAGCAGCCGCACUGUGCCGCGGUGGCCGAGUUAACAUUGAGGCUCAAGAUGAACAGGCACAUGAUCACCAUCAAAGUGGUAGUCCUCUUUCCCUCCAUUGCCUCCUGUCGCUGCUACCUUCCUUGGUUACUAGUAAGUUUAUUGGUUUUGUGUUGAGAGGUGAUUCUUGCAUUGAAUGGACGUUGCCGCGGCUGCAAUUUAUAGGCAGCUGCGCUAUGUGAUGAUAUGGACAAGGUGCAAAUGGGUGGUCCUGAUAU